This 55697-nucleotide long non-coding RNA is filed under the name Coffea arabica (coffee). RNAcentral describes it as "long non-coding RNA (CARA_LNC000301)". The record is from RNAcentral. Lineage: Eukaryota; Viridiplantae; Streptophyta; Magnoliopsida; Gentianales; Rubiaceae.
UUUGGGUCAUGAGACGCUUCUACUCCAAGUCUCCAAUGGAUUGCCUUCUUAUGGAGAUAUGAUUAGUGGAGAAGUGAAUAAACUGUAGUAGUUAAAAUGGGAACUACGUUGAAUUCACAGGAAGGUACAGGUUUGGCAAGGAAUUCAAAUAUUCAAAAAAAAAAAUUGUUACCCCAUUAAACAUGAAUGGAGGGAAUGUGCUAAAGCUUUUAAAAGAUGAUGAGUAGGAAAGGGAAUUUCUUAUUCAUAAUUGAAAGCAGUUUUCUUGAAAACACUUUUAAAACCUAAAGAAUAUCAAAAGUAGAAAUCCUUCGUGUCUAGGACUGAUCUAAUCACUUUUUAAGCAAAACUAACUCAAAAGUAUCUUAAAAGCUUUUUUUUUAAGAUAGCCCUAAAUUACAUAUUUGUGAUCACGGAUGAUCUGGUCAUCAAAGGUUUACACUUGAGUAGAUUCGAUCUUUAGAUAUUCAAUAGAUCAAAUUGUGGUGAGACUUAAUCUGGACUACUGAAUUUUUGACAGCCGGAUCUUCCAAGUUUUGGCUGAACGUGUUUAAGCGUAUCAAGAUCUCUCUAUUUAUGAUGAGCCCAACAACAUCGUUCAAAUCUUGCUGGUGCUAAGGGGAAUGGGGCACAUAUGGGUGCAUGGGCUCAAGUUUUUGCCUACUCAUAUGGGAAGGAGGAAUGCAAGGCUCAUAUGGGAAGAUGAGAAACGCCCAAUCGACAAAAACCUCGAGAGAGAGAAGGUGACGGAGAACACUCUCAUCAAGUAUUGGGUGGACUCUUUCUGUGUAUGAAAGAAAGAAGGGAUGGCGACUGUAAAAUGGUUAGACCUCAAGGUCCUCAACUCUUGAUCUGUACUUUGAUCAAACUUCAAAGGAGGUAGUGCAAAUAACCCUUCAAUAUUUUAAAUAAGUCAUUUUCUUUUCUUUUCUUUUUUUUUUUUUGGUUAUUUGAAGGAAAACAUUUACAACAGAAAGAAAAAAAAACAAAAAACGGUUAUGUAAGUGAACUUUACAUGCAUUACAGUUUGUGAAAUUCGUCAAUUCUCUGCAGAAUUCUGUUCAGUGGACUGAACAUAAGCGCAAUAUUCCACAACAUCAUCUUUGUAAGAACCAUAUUCGUUUUACCGUUGACUUAGCCUCCAAAGAGUGGCUUCAGUAACACCUAAUCAAAUAAACUUCUACUUCUCGUGAAAAUCAAUGUUCAAAAGCAUCCACACAAGGGAAAAAUAUAUCUUGACAGAUAAAAGGUAUUCUAACAGUUCAAAGAAACCUCAAGUCUCCAAUCUGCAUAGUCCAAUUAAGGAACCAAUUAUUAAUGGAUCAUUGCAAGAAGUCUGAUUUUGACCUGAAAUGAUGAUGGACGACCAAAACUAUCAAGUACAAAAGCUGAUUCAUUCACUCUGCCUCUGACCCAAAACUGGAACAUCUUCGUAACGCUUCUGUAAUGCAACAUUUAUGAAUUUCAGUUAGACAUCCAUGAAGACCACGAGGAAGGUAAAGCAGACAUAUCUAUUAUUAUUACAUAAAGCAGGAAAGUAAAAGACUAGAAGCAUCCAUUUCUAGAAGCAGAGAAGAAUAAUGACUAUAAAAGACACGAUUUGCAGAACACAAGCCAAAUAACACGCAGGUUUAAUUUCAAAUGCUCACUCAAUUAUGACACUUACCAACCCCACUCGAAUAGGGUACCAAAUACAGUUCUAGACACAAUUUUCAAAGCUUACUUUAAUCCGGCAAGUACCUAUGAUCACUCAAUAGAAACUUCGAUGGCAGAUUUUGAAAAUAAUAAUUAGCAUGAUAUCAUAAGCAUUUAGGCCUAUUGUGGAUCAGAUAACAUCAAAAUAAAGAGCUAAGACAAAGUUAAAACAAAUCCUCAGACCGUGGAGUUCUUAAAAGUUUUGGGCUGAGAGAAUAAACGGUGAUUUUUCUUUAGGACCCAAGUGGAAGGAGAUUUUGGACAUUUCAAGAUCAGAAAUGCAUGCCACUUGGUGUGCGGAAUACUUCAAAAUUAGGGAGAAGAAAGCAGCGAGGGGAGCUAAGGUUGGUGGAGGAAGAACAAACCUUACUCCCUUUCAAUGAAGGACGCAACUUACAGAAAAAAAAAAGGAAAAAGGAAGCAUGAGAAGAAAGGAACAAGGUAGGGGAGAGAAGGGAAGCAUGCAGAUCUUGAUGAGGGGGAAAAUGUUAGGAGAUCUAUGGCACGAUGUUCAGAAAUGAUUGGUCAGUCCAGAUAGUGCAACUGCCUAGUAUACAUUGCUUUUAUUGCACACAAAAGCUUCUCUAAAUGACUCAAUGAAACUAAUUACUUGAUACUCCUUGGUCCAGAAAACAUUUCAGCUAUAGCAUCACACAUAAGAAUCUUAAUGCUGUUUUGCAUGAUCUAAUAAAUAACUUAUCCGAACAAUUCUUACUAAGAAGCAACCAUAGAAAAUUAGAGUUCAAUCUAAUUCAGCUGAUUCACUGCAUGUUCUUUAGUAAUCAACAUUUUGACUUGGUCUUUUAAGUGUUCAUGAAUGUUCAAUUAGUCAAAUAGCUAACUAAAAUCAGAAAAUAAAUCUUUGAAAAGAUGGAUCUAAAUUCAAAGGUUCCUAUAUAUCAAUCAAGCUAUGGUACAAGUCUAAGGUCAAGGAACACAUGGUAAAUCAUCAUUUGGUGUCACACUGGAUAACGUCGUAGUCAUGAGAAGAGUGACAAGCAUCUUAAAUCAUCAAAAGGGUGAAUUUAAGCAGAUAACUACUAAACAAUAAGCCAAAACUGUAGACAAUACGAGGUGCAAGAAAGACUAAAUAAUAGAAUUCCUUUGUUUGUAUAUGAUACAUGUUUGAGCCUGUAAGAGCUAUGCUGUGCAGUAUCUCAAAUGAAUUUCAGCUGCAUCGAGUUAUAAUCCUACACUAUCCAACAUCUAUCACGAGAAGCGUACACAAAACACACUUCAAGCAUCAGUUCAGAAUUACCACAAUGACUAUUUUCUUCUCCCUCUAUUUCCUAAAACAACAGGAAGAUGAGCCUAGGCAUUUCAGCUAGUACUAUCAACUUGUAUCAGUUGGCUGGGUUUAUUGUCCAGCGUCUUGUUUAUAUAGCAUGCUACAAUCUUGCACAAAGAAAUUGCAGAAACCUCUAAAAUGAUCAAAAAUGAAGUGACUAUUCACAUCAUAUUUAACUCGUCCUUCUCAAUUUCCAACAGCCCCUAAAAGCUUUCCUUUUCCCCAGGAGAAAAUACAAGUUUAAUCUCCACUGUAUUUCCACCUCAUAUUCAACUCUCACUUUCCUUUUCUGAAAGAGAAAAUACAAUGAAUAAUUAAAGGAAAACAUCCUUCCCCAAUUGACAAUGUAUCGAUUAGCAUUAUUUGAAGUAAAUAAAGCAAAGGAACAUGAGACAGUUAACUAGAAGGGGAAAAAAAUACAACUGAUCAAAAUACUUCCAAGCAACAAUCUUUCCUAAUUUCUUAUAACUAGAGGUGUGAAAAUGGAUGACUUGGGAGGGUAUGGGUUGGUUAAAAUAGGUAAUGGGUAUAAGUGAAUCAAUUCAUUUAUACCCAUUUAAUUAGAUGGGUAUAAAUGGGUAAGUCAAAAAAUGAAUUGGGUAACUCAAUUAUCCAUUUAUAACUUAUUUAUUUUAACUUUUCAUAAACUCAUUUAAAUUUAUUUUUGUAAACUAUGUUAUCAAUUUGUACCACCAUUUGCACCCAUCAUUAGUUUUAAAUAUUUAUUUAUAAUAUUCAAUUAACCUAGUUACCAUUUUUUUUCAUCCGUACUCUAUGUCGCAAAAUUAUAUACUAUUUAAUAAUUGAACAAUAAGAAUAUAAAAAUUUGACAUAAGUACUAUAAAAAUUAACAUAAAAACUUGAUUAAAAAAUUUUGAAUUCCUAAUAUUUUUUUGUGUAAAUUUAAAUUUCAUUUUGAAAAGGUAGAAAAAGAUGCUAAAACUUGUCAUAAAUUGAGAAUGCUAAAAAAAUGAGUAAGUUAACAAAUUAAGAGAAAAUAAAAUGAUAAGAUAAAACCCAUAAAUAAUAAUAAUAAUGAAACAAAAGUAAUUAACAUCAUAACAAAAUAAAAAAUUUGAAAAAAAAAUGGGUGGGGGAAGAGAAGAGGUUUGGAGGGAGACAAUUCUAAAUGGAUUAAUUGGAUUUGAUGUGUUAUCCAUUAAUACCAUUUAUUAAAUGGGUAUUAUUGGGUAACUCAUUUGUACCUAUGUACAAAAACUUAAAAUACCAAUAUCUUUCUAUUCAUGGACGAAUAUGGGUAAAUUUAAUUAAAUGAGUUUGUUUGCCACCUAUACUUAUAACAAUCAAAAUCCACUUUUAUGGCUAAGUAUCAUACAUCACUUGACUAUAGGACAUCUUCGUUUAAUGUCUAUCUCUGCCAACAGGUUGUCGAUGUCUGUGCAAUAAUAAAUUAAACCUAAUUGUCAAUUAAAAUAAUCAAAACCCGAUUCCAAGUACUGGAGCAGGGACUCUAGGUGUGCAAUGAGUUAUUUUGAUUCACCUGUUCUCGAAGAGUUUGCUUGAUCCAAUAUACCCGAAUGGAAUGACUUUUUUUUGCACAAAUAAUUAUGAAUUUGUAGAUAGGGCAAGUAGGGUCGUAUCCUCAAGGAUUGGGAAUAUUUGUCUCUUUAGAAAUUCAAAGUAAUACAGGAGGUGUUUUUGAAUAAAUGAUGACAAUCAAAGAAAUUCAAAUAAAAAUAAAAAUAAAUAGCUAGCUAGAAAUUAAAUGACAAUUCUCUAAAAUUAGAGUAACAAUAAUUAAAGGUCUAGCCAAGAAAUAACUUCAGCAAUAGUUCACCUAAUUGAUCAUCGAUGUUCAAGCAAUUCCAAUUAUUUAUUAAUAGAUAGGUUAUAACUGCCAAACAAGUGAUAACAGUCAAUCCCUCGUUACUGUGUUGGUGAUUAAGGUACGCCCGUUAAUCACUGCUCUAAUUGAGAAACAAUCCUAGACACACCCAUAAGAUUUAAUUCUCCAAUUGUCUUGCGUAUUAAAUGAGCCCUAUUCUAAUCAAAUAACGCACUACCAGGGUUAUUUCAGAUUAUCCCGCGUAUCCCCUGACACAAACCUAAUCGUGCCAGUUGUCACUAUUUCAAAACAAUUAAAUAAUUACGGAUUUAAAUACCCCAAUUGACAAUAGAUUACCCAAUUAACUAAUUAUCCGGAUCCAAGAAAAUCAAUUAAUUGAACAAUCGUAAGCACUGUAAUCAAAGAAUAUGCAGAUACCAAUAAAUAAGAGAAAAAAUAAAAUUAAAUUAAUUUCACAAUUUUUAGGCGAACCAAAGCCUCUGUUGUUUCUCGACUAGAAAAGGGAUUUAAUUCAUCCUGAAUGCGAAAAGACCCACACAAAGCUGAAGGGACAAUUGCAGACAUUGUCUCCAGUUUCGAUGAUUCAAUUCGUUCGAAUUGGGAAAGAAAAGCUAAGACUACCAUUGUUUUCCUUGGUCUAGACAUCGCAGGAAGAAAAUCACAAGAAGACAAAAAAGGAAAAGUCCAAAAGCUAAAACUAAAAGUAGUGCUUCCUCUGUUCCUAAUUCUAAUUGCUACUCUAAUGCCCUACGGCUGCUAUGCGGCGCCCUCCAUCAAGAGACCGAAGUCUCCAGCCCUUCGUUCCUUUUUUCCUUUUCCAAUGCUGUCUUCUGCAAAUUACCAAAAAGGGUCCCCAUCUUCUUGUUCCAAAAAUGCCCCUGGAUGCCUGCUAUUCGAGCUCUUUCCUGAUGAUUGUUAAAUUGGCACUUAUUAUGGUGUUUUCGAUCAACUCCCUAAAAUAAAUGUGAAUUGUCAAAAGUGAGUAGAAUCUAAUAAUUAAUCUACGUCAGGUCAGGUAAUAGGGGAAAUUAAUAAUAAAAUAAAUGACAAAAUUGCAACCUAUCAAUUCUCCCCACACAUAAACCAUGCUUGUCUUAAGCAUAAGAACAGUCAACAAACAGUAAUAUUUGAUAAUAGUUAUUGCUCUAUCUACCAUAUUGCCAAGAUACCAAGAAAAAUCAUAUAUCAAGCAUCAGUGAUCAAAAUCCGAGAAACAUCACCCGGAUUAGCUUCUAAACCACAAAUUCCUUCAAUUCCAGGUUAACUAAUCUAAGAAAAGGGAAUGACGCAUAACAUUUAACAGCAAAUGGUCCAACUAUUAACCAAAAUCUCAACAUUAAAUCCAUAAAUCGACAAACUGACUUUUAUUAUACACUAACACAACCUUCACUUUUUUAUCACACUUUUCUAUUUUUUUUCUCUUUUUUUUAAAAAUAGGAACAAAAGACUUAGUCACUAGCCAUCGAAACCUUUUGACGUGAGUUCCGACAUUUGUCAGAUGAAAAAGCCGCGAUUACUCAACUCCUAUCGCCACGUGAUCACGCACUCAUAGCAAUUACUACCUUUGACGCGAGAAUCGACACUUUUGGUGAAGAUCCCCGGUUAUUCAGUAGUAACAACUAACGGAGUACAGCCAACUCUUAUUCACAGCCAAAUAACACAAAAACUCAAAAUAACACAAAAAUCAAAAGAAAAUUUGCAUCAGCUAGUCUCAUUUUCAAAUAUGGAGAACUAAAAUUAAUAACCGGACCAAUUCACAUGAAAAUGCCAACAAUCAUUCCCUAUGCCUAGGAAAGUUAAUCCAGAAUUAUAAAAGUCACACAGGCUUCAAUAUUCACCCAAGAGAUAUUUUUAGACUCAACCAUGUCCACUUGAUACAUUUUCAUUAGUAAAAUUGGCAAAAGUAGAAAUAGAGGCAACAAUCCAAUCUCAAACCUUGGCAUGCACAUACGAACUAAUCACUAAAAACAAAAAAGAAAAUGAAUGAAAGGUGGACAACUAACAAACUAAAAUAAAUGAAAAACAUCUAAAAACUCAAAACUAAAGACACUAGCACCAUAACUGCUCCCCCUACACCUAAAUCCGACAUUGUCCUUAAUGGAGGUAAUAAAGUAAUUAAAGCGAAGAGGGCAAUGAAACUUCCCUCUCGAGUGGCGAAGGGUAGGCGGGAAUGGUGGAGGGAAACCGAUGUGGUGGAAGUACGCACCCAAGUUCUGAGACAUCAUAAUUCAAUUCAACCAGCAAAUGCAAAGCUCUGUCCACCCAAAAUCUCAACAAAGUCUCCAAUUGGACAGUGAAUACCUCAACUCAAAAUCGACAAUUCCAACAAUAGCAGAUCAAAAUUCGGACAAGAACAAAACAGGGCAACUACCGCAACCAGUGCCACUGGUGAAAGCACAAGUAGGAAACAAUUCAAACAGUCAAUCCAAAUCACUUGAUAAAUCCAAACACACCGAUCAGUACCGAAAAUUAGAAGAAAUCAAAAUGAGAAUCAAUUGGCAAUCGAUGCCCAAAUCACCCCCCAAAUACUCCCAAACAAAUGAACUGCCAAAGGCAAUGGCAACGACCAACCCAAAAAUGCUAUAGAAACCUCAAACAAAGCACAAGUGAAAAACAGCUAGUCACCUUCUGCUAUUAUGCACCAAGGAACCCAAGAAAAUGGGAACAAAAUCCAGCAAUUUGAGACCAGAAAAAGAUUAACGAGGGAGAAAUUUCAAUACCUCCACCUGUCAAAGAUGGAUAGGUGGUGAGACGAGCAAGGCUACUGGUGGAGGCGUGCGAGAGGUGGAGUGUGUGCAGUGCUGGUGCGAUGGCGGCGCGGCUUGCGUCCUCAGCAGCAGUGGUGGCGCGACAAUUGGAGGCGGCUGGCACGGUCUCGAUGAAGGAAGGGACAUCAAGGAGAGAGAGCGACGAGAGGAGACGCGCGUCGCCUGGGCUUCAGGCACCGAUAGCGCAGCGCUGCGUGAGAAGAAGACGGCGGCGAGCAAGGGAAAAAGAGAGCUGCGAGGAAAGAGAGAGAGAGUGAGGUGUGGGAGAGAGAUUGGAGCUGCGGACACCAGGAGAGAGAGGAGAGUAGGGCGCACGGUGGUGAUGAGAGUGCAAGGCGGCGAGGACGACGGCGCGGCUACGGAUCGAAAAAGCGGUGUGUGCGGAGUUUCGGUCAAACAGGAGGAAGAAACAAGGGAGAAAAAAGAAAGAAAAGAGGAAGAAAGAAAGAAAGGUAAGAAAAGAAGAAAAGAAAAGAAAGAAAAAAAACAAAAUAGUUUUUGGUUUUUUUUUUUAGAAUGUUGAUUUUCAAAAUUUGUAGUUACGGCUAAAUAGGAAAAAAGAUUUUUUUAAAAUUUUUUUAAUUAUUAUUAUUUCUAGACAAAAUAUAUUACUUCAAAAUUUGAGAUUAAAAGGAAAUCAAAAUUUUCUGAAGUUUUGAAUGCCCAUCUUUCCCGCGAACAUAACGCGGGCACGUCAUGAAAACACGAAGUGAAGAGUUUUCCAGGUGACUUGACGCGGGUACGUCAUGAGGGUUAGAUCCCUUCUGAUGAUGAACUCUCCAGAUGACUUGACGCGGGCACGUCAAGGGGAUCGAAACCGUUUUUACUAAGCACUAGGAAGUCGCAAUGUGCCACACGCCCAGUUGACGCGGGCGCGCCAUGUUAGAUAGAUACCUACGAAUCAUCAAAAACGAAAAUUGAAACCAGAAAUCAGUCAAACUCAAGAAAAGCAUAUUUAAACAAACAAAAAAAAAUAACAAACAACUAAAAAAAAUGGGGUUGCCUCACAAUGAGCGCCUUUUUUUUAAUGUGUUUGGCUAGAUAUUGAACACCACUCUUCAAUCUAGGUGUAACUCAAUUUUCCUUGUAAUCGGUGACCCUUCUCUAGGAUCCAAAUAGCUUUUGAGUGCAGCAUUCUUUCUUAAUUUCUUAUUCCUUUUCACCUCAUACAUUGCUUUCAUCCCCUUAUACUUGUUCUCAGUAAAUUUGAAUUUGCCCCUACAAGCAAACUCAGAAAAUUCUUGCACAGAAGGAUUAAUAGCAUGAAUAGCAAAUAUAGAGUGAGAAUUAGCAGGAUGUUCCAUUGUAUAAAAAAAAUUAAAGUGGACUGGUUCUCCAUCAAAUUUCAUGGACAAUGUACCCUUAUUAACGUCAAUUUUUAUCUGUGCUGUGCUAAAAAAGGGUCUACCUAAUAGUAAGGUGAGAGGUCAGGGGAAUAAUCAUCAUCAGUGUCAAAUACAUAAAAGUCAGUUGGAAAUACCAAUUCAUUAACUUUAACUAGCACAUCCUCGAUCAACCCAUUAGAAUAUGCAUUUGUUCGGUCAGCUAAUUAAAUUAUUAUCUCGAUUUCUUUUAAUGGACCGAGGUUCAAAGAAGCAUACAUAGAUUUAGGCAUUACGUUGAUCGAUACUCCCAAGUCCAGCAGGAUAUUCCUAAUCAAAAUAUUACCUAUCCUACAUGGGACAGUAAACUUACCUGAAUCCCCGUAUUUCGGUGGGAGCUUCGUCUGCAAAACUGCGGACACAUUCUCCUCCACGAUGACUCUUUCAUCUCCCCUCAGCAUCCUUCGAUUGAUGCACAGAUCUCUCAAAAACUUUGCAUACUUCAGCACUUGUUUGAUGGCGUCUAAUAGGGGAAUAUUGAUCUCCACCUUAUGGAGCACCUCCAAGAUCUCCUUCUCCUUAUCUUGCUUUCUCGAUUUCUCUAACUUAUUAGGAAAGGGAGGCGGGUUAGUUUUUACUGUAAUGGCUGGGUCUGGGAGUACCUUUGGAUCUGUGCCAUUGCUGUCCUCCUUCUCUAGUUCGUUUUCGAUUUUUUUCUCAUCAUUGUCCUUUGAAAUAGUGAGGUCAGGUCCCUGAAUUUUCUUCCCGCUCCUUAAAGUCAUCACACUUACGUUUUUCAGGUUCAAUUCAUGUUGAGACGGCAAUUUUCCAUAAACUUGGGAUUCCAGCCGAUUGAUUGCCACUACCAUCUGAUUCAUCUGAUUUUGCAUUAUUUGUACCUGUCCCAAUUGAUUUCUUAUGUUCUGCAGUUCGGAGUCUGUCUUUUGCUAAUGUUGCGCGAUGGUAGCUAUUAGUUGUUUCAUCAUUUCCUCCAAAGAUGGACUAGAACUCGGUGGCGGAGGUGGUCGAGGUUGGUACUGCUGCUGGUACCCUUGUUGUCUAUUUGGCACAAAGUUAGUCUGUCUGUUCCCUCCAUAGCUGAGGUUGGAAUGGUCCCUCCAACCAGGGUUGUAAGUACUUGAAUAUGGGUCAUAAGGCUUUCUUGGCGUGGGCACAUGACCCGUCAUGUUCACUUGCUCCGUACUUUCGUCUUGAAUCAUCGGGCACAUAUCUGUAGAGUGACCAUUACCAGUGCAAAACCCACACACCUUGGCCUGUGAUACAUUUCCUACAGCCAGUUGUCUAACAAAAGAAGUCAACUCAGUCAACUGCUGCUGGAUAGAUGUUGUCUCUACCUCAUUCACCUUGCGUAUCGGGACAUCCUCCAUCGUACUAAAUUGCUGGGAAUUCUCCGCCAUUCCUUCAAUUAGCUCCCACACUGCUCGAAGGGUCUUGUUCACCAAUGCCUCUCCACUCGCAGCAUCAAUGAUACUCCUGUCUCUGAAGAGUAGCCUCUCGUAAAAAUAUUAUAUGACCAACUGCUCACUUAUUUGGUGUUGGGGCACUUGAUGCACAACUUCUUGAAUCGUUCCCAGUAGUUGUAGAACGACUCCCCUGGGUGCUGUUUGAUACCACAAAUCUGCUUUCUUAGACUUGCAGCUCGAGACGGGGAAAAAUACUUGUCUAAGAACAUUUCUUUAGCUGGUCCCACGUGGUGAUACCACCUAGUGGUAGGUAGUAUAGUCAGUCUUUUGCAGAGUCCUUCAAGGAAAAGGGGAAUGCUCUCAUUUUUCUAUGAUUCCCGGCGACUUCAUACUGUUGCACACGAUAUCAAACUCUUGUAGGUGCUUGUAAGGUUCCUCACCUGAUAAACCAUGGAAGAAUGGCAAAAGAUGAAUUAGCCUAGAUUUUAGUUCAAAUGGAAUGUUAUCAUUUAAACUUGGAAAAGCAAUGUAUAAAGGUUGCUGGGUUAAAUCAGGGGCAGUCAACUCCCUUAGCGUUCGUACAUUCGCCAUGGUGACUUUCUCUUGGUCCGAGUCACUCGAAGUGUCGUUAAACGAGUCUGUUGGUUCAACUUCUGAUUCAGGCCUUUGAGAUGCAGCACUGGGGUGCUUCUCUCUGAGUUGUCUAGUCUCUUUUCUUGUUCUACGCGCAAUCUUCUCUACCUCGAGGUCGAAAAUUAAUUCACCUGUACGAGAAAAACGAGACAUACAAUCAAAAAGCACCAGAAAAUUAGAACAAAAAUGGAUUUAAAAAGAAACAAAUAACUGACACCAAUCCCCGGCAACGGUGCCAAAAAUUGACAGGUUGUCGAUGCCUGUGCAAUAAUAAAUUAAACCAAAUUGCCAGUUAAAGUAACCAAAACUCGAUUCCAAAUAUUGGAGUAAGGACUCUAGGUGUGCAAUGGGUUACUUGAUUCACCCUACUCUCGAAGAGUUUGCUUGAUCUGAUAUACCCGAAUGGGAUGACUUUUUUCACAAAUAAUUAUGAAUUUGUAGAUAGGGCAAGUACGGUCGUAUCCUUAGGGAUUGGGGAUAUUUGUCUCUUUAGAAAUCCAAAGUAACACAGGGGCAUUUUUGAAUAAACGAUAACAAUCAAAGAAAUUCAAAUAAAAAUAAAAAUAAAUAGUUAGUUAGAUAUUAAAUGACAAUUCACUAAAAUUAGAGUAACAAUAAGUAAAGGUCUAGCCAAGAAAUAACUUCAGUAAUGGUUCACUUAAUUGAUCAUCGAUGCUCAAGCAAUUCCAAUUAUUUAUUAUAUAUAGGUUAUAACUGCCAAACAAGUGAUGACAGUCAACCCCUCCUUACUAUGUCGGUGAUUAAGGUACACCCGUUAAUCACUGCUCUAAUGAGAAAUAAUCUUAUGUACACCCAUAAGAUUUAAUUCCCCAAUUGCCUUACGUAUUAAAGGAGUCCUAUUCUAGCCAAAUAACGCAUAACCAGGGUUAUUUCAGAUUAGCCGCCAUAUCCCCUAACACAAACCUAAUCGUGCCAGUUGUCACUAUUUCAAGACAAUUAAAUAAUUACGGAUUUAAAUGCCCAAUUGACAAUAGAUUACCCAAUUAACUAAUUAUCCGGAUCCAAAAAAUCAAUUAAUUGAACAAUCGUUAGCACUGUAAUCAAAGAAUAUGCAGAUACCAAUAAAUAAGAGAAAAAGAUAAAAAUUAAAUUAAUCUCACAAUUUUUAGGCGAACCAAAACUUCUGUUGUUUCUCGACUAGAAAAGGGGAUUUAAUUUAUCCCGGAUGCGAAAGACCCACACAAAGUUGAAGGGACAAUCGCAGACAUUGUCUCCAGUUUCGAUGAUUCAAUUCGUUCGAAUUGGGAAAGAAAAGCCAAGACUACAAAGUAUGACCCAUUGUUUUCCUUGGUCUAGACAUCCACAGGAAGAAAAUCACAAGAAGACAAAAAAGGAAAAGUCCAAAAGCUAAAACUAAAAGUAGUGCUUCCUCUGCUCCUAAUUCUAAUUGCUACUCUAAUGCCCUACGGCUGCGGUGCGGCGCCCCCAUCAAGAGACGAAGACUCCAGCCCUUCGUUUUUUUUUCCUUUUCCAAUGCUGUCUUCCUCAAAUUACCAAAAGGGUCCGCAUCUUCUUGUUCCAAAAAUGCCCCUGGAUGCCUGCUACUCGAGUUCUUUCCUGAUAAUUGCUAAAUUGGCACUUGUUAUGGUGUUUUCGAUCAACUCCCUGAAAUAAAUACGAAUUGUCAAAAGUGAAUAUAAUCUAAUAAUUAAUCCACGUCAGGUCAGGUAAUUGGAGAAAUAAUAAUAAAAUAAAUGAUAAAAUUGCAACCUAUCACUGCCAAACGAAUAUAUCUCUCCCAGCAUGCUUCAUCCCUUAUUUAUAUACCCUGUACCUCUAGUAUCAAAGCAUUCUGCAACCAUGAUUUUUGUUUUUUUUUUCCAAAAUUUAUCAACCUUAUAACUGAUCCCAGGGAGAUUCUAGAAACUGGCGUGGCCAACAUGUUAGAUCAAGAGAAGAAGGGCUAAGGCCAUCAACAGUACUAUCUUUAAAUUUUGCUAAAAACAAUUACAGAAAAAGGAAUUGUCUCCAUCCUGUAAAAUACCAAAAAUUUUAUGUACCAAAAAUUUAGGGAUCCAUCCCAAUGGCUGCAUCACAAAAAGAAUGCUAAAGAAAAGCAUUUCUUCCAAUAGCUCAUGACCCUCAGAAACCAAAUAUAACUAACAAUAGAUUCUUUAUUGCCCUAUAAAGGUUAUCAAGCUAUAAAGGAGUCAACAUAAAAAAAUAGAAACAAAAAAGAACUCAAGUCAUCGAAGAUUUUAAAAAAAAUAACUGCCAGUAAAGCAUAUCUAGCACUACCGUUUAGAUUACUGUUAUAGUUUCCCUAAAUCCUUUACCCCAAAUCUUCUCUCUUCUGUCUGAACAUGUUACUGUCAGUGCCUAGACCGUACAAUGUCAUAUUGAGUCUAUGUAUCUGGGCGAUUUUGAAUUUUUCAAAACUAGGGUACUGGUAAAUGGCCAAAGAUCUAGAAUUGGCUAAAGGGCGUCUAUCUUGUAUCCCAUCUGUAAGUACCAUAUUAAAUACAACUUAAAUUAUGAAAUGGCUCAUACUUAAAAGAAAUUUCUAAAUGAUCCAAACCAAAAAAAAAAAAGACAAGAAAAUUAUCUUAAAAUAAAGAAGAAGAAAAUCUGGGGCAAAAAUGAUUGCACAACCAGUUUCUAAAUGUAUAAAGCUUUAGUGACAAAUUAUAAUUCAUCGUAUUCAAGACACAAGUUAUAUAAUUUCGUAACAAUGACAUGAAAUAAUAAAAUUGUUCACAAUUAAAAGUAUGUGUUAUGUUAUUGUUAUAUAACAUUAUCUGAAUCCUACUUCUCGAAAUUUAUUUUGUUGGCAAAAUUUAAACUGUUAUGAUCGAUCAAAAGGAAAAAAAGAGAAAUUAAAGUACAUGGUUGAGAUCUUCUCUCUCUCUCUCUCUCUCUCUCUCUCUCUUUCUCUCUCUCUGGGGAUAUUCCAACCACGUGCAAUGUAGUUUGCUAAUGAAAUUUCCUCUGGCGGAGAAAAACAAAAUUGAUGCCAUGAGAGGCUUUAACAAAAUGACAACCACUUAAGAAAAACCCUAACCGCUAAUCUAUUUGUCAUGCAUGCAAACGAAAAUCUCCACUUAUUUUUGUGUCCAUGUUAAGUUGGUUGACUUGGCUGUCAUUCAGUAACAAAAUCAGUGACGUUUCUAUAAGGACUCCAUUUAAAAUGUAGUUCCAUCCAGUUAAAAUGUUGUUCUCGAAUUUGGCAAGCUUCACAGUUAAGUUUCAAACUGAGAUUAGCAAUUAUGCAGAUAUAUAGCCUUCUAAAGAGAUCCAAAUUCACUAUUAAUGCCUUUUAUAAACUUGUGAAUCGCGAAAAGCCUGUUAGCUAGGGAUAUUUCAUGCUUGCACCUGAUAGCAGAGUUUUAAGAGGAAAAUGAAUUAAAAACUUUACUAAGGAGUUUUUAACGCUUUUUAUUCUUUUUCUCUUGGUAUCUUUCCUUUUCCUUCUCCUCCUCACCUUUGAUGAAGUACUCAUGAAGUGUAAAGAGAAAACUUAGGGAUGCAAUUUUCUGGGAUUUUUUAAUAUCUUGAUGGCAUUACUCCUUCAGUUGGAUCUCAUAAUUCAGAAAUUUAAUCUCCUGUCACAGCAUGAUCCAUUCAAGUUGCUAAAAAACAAAUAGAAGCAACAAAUUAUUGCUCCAUGACACAUGAAAAAUUAUCUUCAUAAAACUUGAUUCAUUUUGGUGUCAUUGCAGGUAACGAUGCUAGGAUUGAGCCACAUAUUAAUCUUAACGUCUAUAUAUGUCAUAAACUUCUUCUCCUUAAUCUAUGUAGCAAGAUAAAACACUUAGGCCAAAGUUACAUCUUCUAUUCCGGCUCCAAAACUCACUAUCUAUUUAUAUCCUUUCAACUAGAUUCGUCCAUAUUUGCUUCUGUUUCAAUCGGUUGAACCGACCUGUGUGGUUCAAUUUGUCAAAAAAUGAGUUUGGUUGAGAUGAUUGAACAAUUACAAAGAAACUUACUAUUUGUGGGUCCAAUUACACAAGAAACUUAAAAUUGUGGUCCAAUUUGUCAAAAAAAUGUUUGGUUGAGAUGAUUGUACAUUACGCAAGAAACUUAAAAUUUGUGGGUCCAAUUACACAAGAAACUUAAAAUUGUGGGUCUAAUUUGUCAAAAAAAUGAGUCUGGUUGAGAUGAUUGAACAAUUACACAAGAAACUUAAAAUUUGUGGGUCCAACGUACCAAUGGAGCAGAAGGAAUUGUACUCUUAAAUCUCAGUACAUGCUAGUUCAAUCAUAGAUAUAGUUAAAAUCUCUUAGGUGCUAUUUUCCCCUCACACUUUAUUACCGGGCAUCCUGCACCUUUCACUAAUGUCUCCUCUCACACAUCAUGUCUUUAAGUUGAAAUAGUAUCAACCUUUCAUUCGACGGACAACAUUGCAUUCAAGGUUCUAGUGGGAGGAGUUGCCAUUGCUACGCUCCGAUAACAAUACUGGGUAGGGAUGGCAACGGGACAGGGGAUCCCUCUCCUGUAAAAAUAAAAUAAAAUCUGUUAAGUGUUAUUUCCCCCUCACACAUUAGAACUAGGCAUCCUGCACCUUUCACAAUUGUCUCCUCCUCACAUAUCGAGUCUUUAAGUUGGAAUAGUAUCAACCUUUCAUUCGACGGACAACAUUGCAUUUAAGUGUCUAGUGGGAAGAGUUGCCAUUACUAUGCUCCGAUAACAAUGCUGGGUAGGGAAGGCAAUGGGAUGGGAGAUCCCUCUCCCGUCUCCUGUCCUGGUGUCAAAUAUCUCCCCAUACACCCACUCCAUCCUUUGCCCCUGCCCUUACCCCGCCUAGCUCCUCUCAGGGAGUUUGCAGGGGAAUGAUGAAAAUUUGAUCCUGUAGUUAUUUGCUUCCAUAAUAACUAACAAAAAUUCAACAUAUCAACCCAUGGGGGGAUGGGUAUCCCUUAUUGCCAUCACUAGUGUUACAUAUUAUUGGGCCUUUUAUCACAAAAACUAUCUCAAAAGUUAAAGUUUUCCCUCACACAUAUAACCAAAUAUCCUUUCCUUCCACAGUUGAUGCAGAAUAAACUGAAAAUUCCCCAUUCACAUCAGGCCCGAGGUUGGAAUAGCAUCAACCUUUCAUUCAAUGGGUGCAAGUUGGGAAAACACCAACCUUUCAUCUGACAAGCAACAUUUCAUUCAAGUGUUUAAAUUGAUUAAUUUUUCAUUUGAAGAUGAAAUUGGUCAGCAAUUGACAGUUUAAAUACUAAAUGUGUCAUGUUAAAAAGUUUGAGAACGAAAUGUAACUAUGACCUAAAGUAUAGGGACAUUUUCCUGCAUUUUACUCUUUUCUAUCAAUAUGUUAAGUUAUAAGACGCUCUGGAUGAAGAUAGAAAACGUUUCUUUGAAAACUUCCAUUUAGGAGAUACUUAGAAUACGAGUUUAUGGGAUCCUUUAUACCUUCAUUAAUUGCAUUAGUACUAUUUCGUGUUGGACUCAAUAGCUCAGAAAUCUAUAUUAUCUCCUGCUACAAGAUGAUUGGUUGAAGUUUGCUAAAUACAAAGUGUAUAGGAUCAAUAAUUUGUUGCUCUAUGAGUAUAAGAUUAAUUAUUAAGGCCCUAAAACUUACUUGUAUUUUGGUGUUAUUCCAAGAAAAGAGGUCAGCAUUGAACCACGUAUUGAUCUUUAAGGUCUAUACCUUUGAUGAUCUUCUCUUUUCUAGUCUACAUAAGCUAGAUUGAUUACAUACUAUUUGGAGAAAAAUUUACCAUCCCGAGGUUAAAACUGAGACAUUUCCCUUUAUGGCUUCAGGGAUACAUACUUGGACAUCCAGCGACUAAAGUUCAAGGAAUUCUUAACUAUCUAGUCCCGUUUGCUUAUAGGAUGGGCCUGAUUUCUGAUGAGCGCUAUGUGGAAUUCUGAUGUACUAUGGGAGGGACGUGGGGGGAGGGAGAGGAGAGGGAGGAGGGGCGGAAGAGGAGGUUGCAGGCUGGUGAUGUCGGCAAGCUGGUGGCGGGUUGAGGCGGGGGAGAAGGAAGAAAAUGAUGGAAAAAUGUGAAAAAUUUGUUUGUUUUUAGAUAUUAAGGGACGUGUAUAUUAAAUAUUUUGAGAUAUUUAUAGAGGAUUACUGUAAACAAAAAUAGUAAAAAAAUAAUUGUCUAUUAAAAAUUAGACUAAAAACCAUGUGAAAAUAAGCUAAUAAUCCAUACUUAAUUAAUAAUUUUUUAUUUAAUUAAUUGAACUCCGUUGCUCCAGUCAUUGUCAUGCCAAACCAAAUUGAUCCGUUGCUCCAGUCGAGCCUAGGGCUACAAAUGAAUCGAGCCGCUCGCGAGCGGCUCAAAUCAAGCUCGAGCUCGCGCCGGCUCGAGUCGAACUCGAGGUCAGAAUAUUAAAAUCGUUAGCGAGCUUGAGUAUAUAUAUUUUUAUUUUUAUUUAAUAAUAAAAUUAUGUAUAUUACAUAUAUUUUUUUAUUUUUUAUUUUCAUAUUAAAAUUACGUAUAUAUUCUUAAUAUUUUAUUAUUUAUUAAGAAAAAAAUAUUAUUUUAUUUAUUUUUUUAAAAAAAAAUAAUUAUUUUUUAUUUUUUUCGAGCUCGAGCUCGAGCUCGAAAAUUGCCGGCUUGUCGAGCUCGAACUCGAGCUUGGUAAAAUUUAGUCGAGACUCGACUCGAUUACCUCAAAACUCGACUCGACUCGGCUCUUUUGCAGCCCUAGUCGAGCCCACCAUUUUUUCAACAUUACACGCAUUUAUUCUAAUGAUGCGUGUAAUGACUCAUUACAAGGCCGUGUCAUGGGAGGUAUACCGGAGAUGCUCGUAUAUAGAGUUCGCCGAAGAACUCUAUCCAAGUGUCUGGAGUCUAAAGUUGCUCUGCCUAGUGCCCAAAACGAGAGAUAGGCCAAGCUCUAUGGAGAAGUUGCAGGUGCUCCUAAGGCAUCCUAUCUUCUGCAACCUGUUCUUACUGCUAGUUUAUGUUCAAGCAUGUUCAAACCUUGCUAUUGCUGGUUCCAUAGUUAAGUUUCUUCCAGGAUUUGAAGGACCCCUCCCCUUUGAACUCGAAACCGGGUGAGCCACUAAGUAUAACAUAUAUAUAUAUAUAUAUAACACUAGAAAUUAACAUUGAUCAAAACUUAGAAGAAAUAGUUGAUCCAUUUUUUGAUAUUAUCAGGUAUAUUAGUUGGUGAAUCAGAGGAUGUGCAGCUCUGCUACGCUUUUAUCAAGUCAGAGUCAAAUCCUCAAUCGGAUCCUCUUAUCAUUUGGUUAGAUGGAGGCCCUGGCUGCAAUUCAUUUAUUCCACUUUUCUUUGGGAUAGGUGAAUUCUAAUGCCUUACACUUUGCAGUAGGUGUCACCAAAAAAAAAAAGAACAAUUGCCGCACUAUUUUGAUCUUGAUUGCGUAUAAUCUUGAAACUCUGCAAACAGCAUUUCUGGUUGAAACUCUGCAAAAAAGAGAAAAGACGUUGUCUGGUUGAGGAAGCUUUAUGUAAGGACUUUUGUUUUGUUUUGUUUUUUUGGGUAAAAGUAUUAAUUUUAUUGAAUAGCAUCCAUUUGUCGCCAGUAGCAACUGCUACAAACAUCUGUACAAUAACUAACUACACGUUCACAUCAAAUUAAAAAGCCCAAAAUAUACAAUAAAGCUUUUGAAAAAUGUUCCUAAAAACAGCUAAUUCAAAUGGAGCCAUAAUCUUUAUUUGUCUUUAAAGUUCAAGUGAUGAUGACUGAUAGACUGGAGUGCCAGCAUUUGAUCAAGUCACUGGCCGUGAUUUUCUGUUGCAGGACCAGUAAUUUUGGAGCCAUUGUCGUUCGACGGCACUCUGCCCAAAUUGGUAUUAAAUCCCUCUACUUGGACCAAGGUAAACUCAAGAAUUGAGUUUCUCUUUUCUUUUCUUUUAUUUUCUUGCGAGAGAAAAAGAGAUUUAAGUUGAUGAGUAUAUCUUAGACUCAUAGAACUGUUACAUGAAAAGGUUAUUGAGAUACAUAUAUAAAUAAGGUUCCAAAUUUUUUCUUUUUUCUUUUUUUUUUGAAAUAAUGUUCAAAUAAUCUUUAUCCAAACAAACCUAAUUUUCAAGAUUAAGAAUUCGAGUAGACUGCAAGAUUGAGAAUCAUUUCUUGUUACUUGUUAGGUUGUAAGCAUCAUCUUUCUGGAUUCGCCAGUUGGAACGGGUUUUUCUUAUGCUAAGACUGCAAAAGCUUCUCAAUCUUCAGAUUUUCAAGCCUCUGAUCAAGCUUAUGAAUUUAUCAGGAAGGUACAGGCCCAUCACUCAGCUAAUUAAUGAAUCGUAAGGCUUCAUGGAACGUUGGACAAUUACUAAUUAGGAAAAUGCCAUAUUUGUCUCUAGACCCUUUAUUAUGCAAAAAGACAAGUGUACUAUCAUUUAAUUAUUUUCCUUCAGAAUAGUGGAAUCCUGCAUGGCUCUACCCAAAAUUGCCUCCAUUGGAUUCAAGUUCUCUAUGAACACAGUUUUGAUUGUAUAGAACAGUUGACAGUGGAAGAUGAAUAAAAGUUACAUCAAUAAUAAUUGGAUAUAGUAGUUUCGACAGUUAGCGUCAUGGAAGCCAUAGUAGAGGAGGAGGUCUGUUGCAUGGGGAAAGAUCCCAAAGUCUCAUGAAAUGUGGCAAUCUCUAGAAUGGAAUAUCCCACUCACAGUGUUUAGUUAGUGCAAUGUUCUGGUAUGGCCUCCUAUGAUAAUUAGUUUAACAUGUAUACUGAGAUAUUCCAUCUCUUGUACAAACUUGUUCCAUAUCAAUGAACUUACAGUUUUACCUUGAAAAGAUAGUGGAAGAUGACUAAUUUUGAAUUUGAUGCUUACAAUUCAAUUUUGGGUACAUAUUUCAAUAAGCGAGGCAAUUUAUUGUUUUUAUGCAUGUUGUUGUAUUUUAAUGUCUACAAUUGGUUUGCGAGUGCCUAUAGUACACAGUGCAAUUGCGAAUGCCAAUUAUAGAGGCUUGGUUGGGCGAUAUUUGUUGCGUUUUUACCCAUUUGAACCUCGAGUUAAAAGCUUAAUUUCCUUUGAAAUGGGAAAGAAAUUAUAGUUAAAAAGAUGUUUACCUUUCACAAGAUUGGUUUUGAUAGUUGAUUAUAUUGCAGUGGCUACAUGAUCACCCAGAGUACAAGUCGAAUCCAUUCUAUGUUAGUGGAAUCUUGUAUGGGGGCAUUCCUGUUCCAAUAUUAACUCAACUUAUAUCAAAUGGUAAGAUUUUUUCAAUGUGGCUCUUUACCCUUGGGAAGUUUUUCGAUUGUGUUACAAUUUGGUUAUUGAAAUUGUUAUGCAGAGAUACAUAGGCAUUGUAAGAGAUCUGAAUAUACUAUAAAUGCUUUCUGUAAGCUUGUAGUAUAUGCGAAGUCUCUUUAGGUAGGAAUAUAGUUGUCACCUUAAGCUAAAUGGGUUUUAUUAACAUAAUGCAGAGCUUUAAAGGGGGGAAAAGGGUUGUUCCCUCAGAAAUUUGCAGGCUUUUUAUUCUUUUCUGUCCAUAUGUUAAGUUAUAAGACGCUCCAGAACAAAGCAAGAAAACGUUCCUUUGACCAGUUCAGAUUUCUACAUUAUCUCCUGCUACAAGAUGAUCAGUUGAAGUUUGCUAGAUACAGAGAGUAUAGGAUCAAUACUUUGUUGCUCUAUGACUAUUGUUAACAGGUAUUUUGGGAGGAAAACAUCUAGUCACCGUAUUAUGGGUGACCAACUAGUAUUUAUAAGAGUACAAACCUAAUAAACUAUUUACAAGAAUACCCUUACUAAUUUAUUAUCUACAAGAAUACUUAUAUUCUCUUAACAUUCCCCCUCAAGUUGGAACAUAUAUAUCAUAAGCACCCAACUUGUUACAAAUGUAUUUCACCCUAGAGUCUCCUAAACUCUUGGUAAUCACAUCAGUCAAUUGAUCUACAGACGGUACAUGAGAUGUCUUGAUGACCCCGUCAAGCAAUUUCUCUCGAAUGAAAUGACAAUCAACUUCAAUAUGUUUUGUCCUUUCAUGAAACAUUGGAUUAGAUGCAAUAUGAACAGCCGCCUGAUUAUCACACACUAAAUUCAUAGGCUGUUUAUGCUCAAACCCAAGUUCCAGUAACAUGCUUUUCAACCAAACCAACUCACACACAGUGUGAGCCAUAGCGUGGUAUUCAGAUUCUGCACUUGAUCAGGAUACAACUGUUUGCUUCUUACUCUUCCACGACACUAAAUUACCACCAACAAACACACAAUAUCCUGUAGUCGAUCUUCGAUUUGAGGCAGAACCAGCCCAAUCUGCAUCACUAUAUCCUUCAAUAUCAAUGUGCCCAUGAUUUUGAUACAACAACUCUUUUCCAGGAGCACUCUUAAGAUACCUGAGAAUCUGUAUAACAGCAUCCCAAUGACUAGUAUGAGGGGUAUCAAGAAAUUGACUCACAACACUCACUGCAAAUGAAAUGUCAGGUCUCAUUACAGUGAAAUAAUUUAAUUUACCCACAAGUUUUUGAUAUUGCUUAGGAUCAUCAAGUAAUGCACCUUGAUCUCCUGCUAAUUUCACAUUGAGAUCCAUAGGAGUAUCCACAGGUCGGUAAUCUAACAUCCCAACUUCACUCAACAUAUCAAGUACAUAUUUUUUUGACAUAAAUAAAUCCCAUAUUUAGACCGAACUACCAAUACCCAGAAAAUACUGUAGAUGACCUAAAUCUUUUGUUUGAAAGUUUGCCUGCAGAUUGGAUUUAAGUUUCUGGAUCCCCACAAUAUCAUCACAUGUAAUCACAAUGUCAUCCACAUAAACAACUAAUAAAAUUUUACAAGCAUUAGAAUGUCGAUAAAAUACAGAGUGAUCUACUCCACAUCUUGUCAGACUGAACUCCAUGACAACACUACUAAACUGGCUAAACCAAGCCCUCGGAGACUGUUUCAAUUCAUAUAAGGAUUUUUUCAAACGACAAACCAACCGCAGAUUCUCCCCCUGAACAAUAAAUCCAGGAGAUUGUUCCAUAUAUACCUCUUCUUUCAAAUCUCCAUGCAGAAAUACAUUUUUCACAUCCAACUGAUGCAAUGGCCAAUUAUAAGUUGCUGCCAAAGAGAUAAGAAGACGAACAGAGGUAAUCUUUGCAACAGGAGAAAAUGUUUCUAAAUAAUCUAUUCCAUACACCUGAAUAAAUCCUCUAACUACCAGCCGAGCCUUCAAUCUAUCAAUAGAACCAUUAGGCUGCACUUUUAUAGUGUACACCCAUUUACAACCAACAACAGGCUUACCUGAAGGACGAGGGACAAGAUCCCAAGUACUAUUUUGUUCCAAAGCAGAUAUCUCUUCUUGCAUAACUAAUCUCUAACCAGGAUGAUUAAGAGCAUAGGUAAUAGACUUAGGAAUGGAGAUAGAAUCAAGGGAAGCAACAAAAGAAGAAUAUGACAUAGAGAGACGAGAAUAAGAAAUAAAAUUAGAAAUAGGAUGGGAAGUACAAUGUCUCUUACCUUUGCGUAAACCAACAGGAAGAUCUAACUCAGAGGAGGGCGCCAUACCUGGAUUUGAAAAUUGAGAGUUAAUUGGUGAAGUGCGAGGCAUAUCAGGAACUUUCUCAACAUGAAACGACGAGAGUAAACUUGAAGAUGAGGACGAGAUAAUCGAGUUAUGGAAUCUGGUGGACUAGAUAACUCAGGUAAUAAAGGGGAAGGGACAAGUAAAACAGAAGAGGAAAAAGAGGGACACUGAUCUAACUCACAAGACAUACUUUGUUUGAUAAAAUACGGAGUGAAUUCAAAGAAAGUAACAUCAGCACAAGUAAAAAUCGAUUUAAAACUGAACUUUAACAUCUAUACCCUUUUCGCGCUCGUGCAUAUCUUAAGAAAAUACACUUAAUAGCACGAUAAUCUAAUUUAUCCAUCCCGGGAGCAAGUUGAUGAACAAAGCACACACAUCCAAAAAUACGAUGAGGCAAUUUAAACACAAGUUCAUGAGGAAAAAGAAUGGAGUGAGGUAAUUGACUUCCAAAAAUAUUAAAUAGCAUGCGAUUAAUUAAAUAACAUGCAGUUAGAACUGCAUCACUCCAAAAUUGUUUGGGCACAUUCAUGUGCAACAACAGUGUUCGAGCAAUUUUGAUUAAAUGUCCAAUUUUUCUUUCAGCAACUCCAUUCUGUUGUGGAGUGUGAGGACAAGAGAACUGAUGAAUACUACCAGACUUAGUCAUAAAGGUAUUAAAAGGGUGAAAAAAUAUUCUUUCACAUUAUCACUGCGAAGUAUACGUACAGGCACACCAAAUUGAUUCUUUAUUUCUGUAACAAAUGCACAAAAAAUGGAAUAUAAUUCUGAACGAUCUUUCAUUAAAUAAAACCAUGUAACUCUGAAAAAAUCAUCAACAAAGACUACAAAAUAUUUAAAAUCUAACUUUGAAGUGACUCGACUAGAACCCCAAACAUCAGAAUGAACUAACAAAAAGGGUUCAAAAACCGGUUUAUUGACUUUAGGAGCAAAAGAAACACGAUAAUACUUUCCUAACUGACAAGACUCACAUUCUAACGAAAUAAUUGAUUCAAAGUAGGAACCAAUUUUUUCAAAUUUUGUAAAGACGGAUGACCUAAACGACAGUGAAUUUCAAGAGGAGAAACAGUAGCAGGACAUGCUAUCGGACCAUUGAAGUUGAGAGAGUAAAGACCAUUAUGCUCAUGCCCUCCACCAAUCGUCCUCUUUGUCUUCAAAUCCUGAAUGACAACAGAAUCGGGAGAAAAAGUAACUAUACACUGUAGAAAUUUAGUGAGCUUACUAACAGACAUUAGAUUAAAUGGCAAAUUGAGUACAUAAAGAACAGAAGACAGCGGAAGUGAUGGAUUAAUUUCUACAGUGCCUAGUCCUUUAACUUUAACUAUUAAUGCCCUAAAACUUACAUGUAUUUUGGUGGUAUUCCAGGAAAUGAGGACGGCAUUAAACCACGUGUUGAUCUUAAGGUCUAUACUUUUGAUGAUCUUCUCUUUUAUAGUCUACCAAAUCUUGAUUGACUACAUACUAUUUGGAGAAAAAUUUACCUUCUUGAGUUUAAAACUGAGACGGCUCCAUUUAUGACUUCAGGGAUACAUACUUGGAAAUCCAAUAAUGAAGGUUUCGGGAAUUCUGAACUAUAGGGUUCCGUUUGCUUAUGGGAUGGGGCUGAUUUCUGAUGAACUCUAUGAGGUAACUUAUUUCUUUUGUUUGUUACCUAUUGAUAUCUCAGAACACUGUCAUUUGUCGCAUGCAUUCUUACAAUGUAAAAUUAUCCGUGAUUUUCUACUUGACCUGUAUAUUUACAAUGCAGUCCUUGAAGGUUAGCUGUAAAGGGGAAUAUGAAAUCAUAGAUCCCAAUAAUGCAGCGUGUUCGAAAAAUAUGCAGGCAUACAAUAAGGCAAGCAACCAUAUCUAUGCAAUUUUUAUGUGACUAUUUUCAAAAAUUAGGCAAGGCCUAAUGGAUUUACUUAAAAUGUCCCCUAAACUCAAGAAAGAGGGGCAGAGUUAAGGAUUGUCAGUGUAGCCGUUUCUGAAUAGUGUAAUAUCAUUUGAACAAGCAGUAAUUCAUUGUAACUUACUCGUACAAUUUCGUAACAGAGUAGCAGUUAUUGUUAGGGGCUUGCACAAGCACUGAUCGAACAUCAUACUUCUGUUGCGAAAUUGUUGAAGGUAACAAUGAAUUACUCUAAUUUAUUCAAACAAUAACACACUUUCCAGAAAUGGUUGUACUGACAAUUGGUUCCUACCCCUUCCCUUUAAUUUGCGGGCUACAAAAGGUGGGAAGAAUCAGAAUAAAGGAACGGCAACCAGAGUGAUGGUGUUAAUAAUUUGCUUCUGCAGUUCGUUCGUAAUAUUGGCGAUCAACAGAUCUUGAUUGCCGUAUGUCCUUCCCUUUCACGAGAGCCAAAUAAAUUAUUUACUGGUGGGAGAUCCAUUAAACAAUUGUUGUAUAAGAAGUUUGAAGAGCUAGACAUUCGGGAAUCUACUCCAGUCAAAUGUCGAGUAAGAUACUACUAGUAUCGUUCUAUGUAAACUCGUGGACAAGAGCAUCAGCUCUUGGUAGCAAAACUGAUCGUUUUUUUUUCUGUUCACUGGCAAUCGUAGAUGGAAUGGAUUACGCUUGUUGAUCACUGGGCUAACAACAAGAGCGUCCAAGAGGCCCUCUAUGUGCGAAGGGUAUGUCUAAAUCGAGCACUAUGGUAUGUAGCAUUUGAAGAAUGCCGAAGCAAGCCUAAACUGAUUUCUGUAAUCACAUUGCAGGAAACUAUCGGACAGUGGGUAAGCUGCAGCGAUACCUUGCCAUACACAGAAAAUGCAGGGAGUGUUGUACCAUAUCAUGCAAACCUUAGCACUAAAGGUUAUAGAUCCCUUAUAUACUGGUUUGGUACCUAACUCUGAAUCUUGAUGCAUGUAGGUUAACAGCAGUGAUUUUAAGUACUGAAAGUGGAGUACUUUGUGAUGCAGUGGUGACCAUGAUCUGCUGGCCCCACACAUUGAAACUCAAGCGUGGAUAAGAUCUCUACAUUACCCAAUUAUUGACGAUUGGAGACAGUGGAUUCAUGAAGGCCAAGUUGCGGGGUUUGGUUCAAAAUUGAACAAUGUUUCUUUUCUUGAUUACACCACCAUAAGCACGAGAUAAAAAGAUGACUUUACCCAUCUCAUCUAAAUUUGUGUUGUUUUCCUGCUUCCAGUUACACAAGGACCUACGCAAAUAAGAUGACAUUUGCAACAGUGAAGGCAAGAAAUUCCUGUUUCUGUUGCUUCAGUGCAAGAUUUGUUCACAUGGUAACAACUAACAACAAGGUUAGAACAUUCUUGGGACUAACUAGCACCCUUUUUCUUUUUAUUUUUUUGGGUGAAGGGAGGAGGCCAUGUUGCUUUUGAGUUCAAGCCUGCCGAAUGCAGAAUUAUGCUUGAGAGAUGGAUAUCGCAUCAGCCUCUCUAAUCAGUUGGCAUAUGGAUAUGAACAUCUUUGAUCACUUCUCAGCAUCAAAUGUUCCACUCUUAAAUAUAAACUAUUGUAACUUUGGGUCAUGAGACGCUUCUACUCCAAGUCUCCAAUGGAUUGCCUUCUUACCAAAUAGUGAAUAAAAUGUAGUAGUUAAAAUGGGAAUCACGUUACUUACGCCUCCAAAACCUUUCUAUAUGACUGUUGAAGCUUUUACUUGGAAAAUAUGUCAUUGAAAUAAAUUUCCUCAAUUUUGCAAUAAAUAAAAUUUUGAAUUCACAGGAAAGUACCGUUUGGCAAGGAAUUCAAAUAUUAAAAAAAAUUGUUACUCCAUUAAACAUGAAUGGAGGGAAUCUACCAAAGCUUUUAAAAGAUGAAGAGGAGUAGGAAAAGGAAUUUCUUAUACAUAAUUGAAAAGCAAUUUUCUUGAGAACACUUUUAAAACCUAAAGAAGAUCAAAAGAAGAAAUCCCUCAUGUCUAGGACUGAUCUAAUCACUUUUUAAGCAAAACUGUGACUCAAAAGUACCUUAAAAGCCUUCUUUUUUGGGUAGCCCUAAAUUACGUGUUUGUGGCCAUUGAUGAUCUAGUCAUCGAAGACUCACACUUGACUCAUACUUGAAUUGAUCCAAUCUUUAGAAAUUCAAUGGGUCAAUUUAUGCUACCCAUCUCACCAAGUGGUGCGACUUAAUCUAGACUGCUAAAUUUUUGAAAAUCGGAUCUUCCAAGUUUUGGUUGAACGUACUAAGGGUACUAGGAGGCAUAAAUCGCGUGAUGGAUAGGGAACUAAAGACAAUAUGCCCAAGCAAAUAUGCGGAUUAAGGGAGUGAUUGAAUUUUGGUAUAUUCUUCUUUUAUCCAGCAUGGCAUGCAAAAAAAUUUUUUUUGUUUGUAUAUGAGUAUGAAUAUGCAUGACACUUGACAUGGGGAAAAAAAUUCACUGAGUUGUAUAGAAUAAGGUUGAUAAUCCAAUGUGCUUCAAACUUCAGGGCAAUGCAAAGCUUCAAAUCCAUUGCAUUACAUGAAUUUGGCAAUGAUGACGAUGAUGUACCUGGCUGCUACACUAGAUAGCAAAAUCACAAAUUGUAAAGCAAGGUAUUCUCUACAUUUUCAGAAAAUCUAACAACUUGCAGGUUGAAACAUUGUAACUUGAUGCUAUAUCUUUUUGGAUUCAUCACUCGUGGCUUCUGAUGUACUUUCACAAAGUAAUUGAAAGCAACUAAAACUAACUUUGAAGCAGAAAUUGUUGUAACAAAGAUAGAUAAAUUCCUCAAGAAGAUAUUACUGGAGAAAAUGUGGAAUAACCUUACAUCGCACUUCAACAAAAGCAUUAAACCACGAAAGAAACGUGCCAGAUUACUGAUACAUAAUUAAUUAUGGCUUAACUGAGCUGAAGAUAAAAAUUAAAAUGCCAUGGAUACACAGAUACCAGGUACUAGUUGAUCUUAAGAAAUGCUUGAUAUGUUCUUGAUAUUCGCCUUAAUCUUAUUUCUACAGAAAAACUUGAUGAUGAAGGUUACCAUAACUCGCAAGGUGGAGGCAAAUGGAAACUCAGCAAAACAAAUCUCGUUGUUGCCAGAGGAAGGAAGCAGAGUACCCUCUACUUGAUGCAAGCCAAGUUGGGGAAGAGAGAAGUAAAUGCAGUUCAUGAUUCCUAAAUUGACCUUUGGCAUAGGCAACUUGGAUACAUGGGUGAAAGGAGAAUUCAAACACUUGUUCGCAAGCAGCUCCUACCUUGAGUUAGAGGUAAUGUAUUUAAAUAUUGUGUUGACUGCAUUUAUGGAAACAAACAUAGAGUCGCAUUUCAGAAAUUUUCUCUAUCUAGAAUAUUAAAUUCGUUAGAGUUGGUGCACACUGAUGUUUGCUAUAUGAAAGUAGGUCUCUUGGUGGUGUUGUUUAUUUCGUAACUUUUAUUGAUGAUUUUGCUAGAAAAGUUUGAUGUUUUGCAUUGAAAUCCAAAGAUCAGGUUUUGGAUGUAUUUAAAAAUUUUCCUAGCAAAGUUGAAAGACAAACUGACAAGCAAUUAAAGUGUGUUUGUGUUGAUAAUAGUGGUGAGUACAGGGAACGGUUUGAAAGUUACUGCAAGUCCCAUGGGAUCGGACUAGAAAAGACAAUACUAAAAACUCCUCAAGAGAAUGGAUUAGCAGAGAGGAUGAAUGAAUCAAUCACUGAGCAGGUCAGAUGUAUGAUCUCCAAUGCUAAACUGCCAAAAUCCUUUUGGGGUGAGGCAAUGAGAACUAAAGUUGAUUUGAUUAAUCUUUCUCCAUCAAUUCCUCUAGAUGGUGAUAUUCUAGAGAGAGUAUGGAUGGAAAAAGUUAUGUCUUUUAAACACUUGAGAAUUUUUGGUUGCUGGGCAUUUGUUUAUAUUUUCAAAGAUGAGAGGUCAAAACUUGUUGUAAAAUCAAAAUAGUGUAUUUUCUUGAGUUAUGGACAUAAAAAUUUUGACUAUAGGUUAUAUGGUCCUGUUGAAAAGAAGGUGAUCAGGAGUAGAGAUAUUGUCUUCUAUGAAGAUCAAACCAAUAAAGACAUUGAUAAAGGUGACAACCCAAAAUUCUCAGAUAAUAUUUCUGCUAGUUCAAAUUCAGAUUCAGAUCUAGUUCUAGUACCUGUUGAUUUUAAUAAAGGGAGAGCUGCGAUAGAGCCGAAAGAGGAUGUUGAUGAUGGUAAUAAUCCUGCUAUUGAUGUACCUGAGCAUGAGACGCCACCUACUCCACCACUGCCACCACAAAUGAAAUUAGAAAUCUACCAGAGAGAGUAGACAUUCUAGCAGAUAUAAUUUCCAUGAAUAUGUGUUGUUGACAAAUGGAGGGGAGUUAGAGCCUUACUAUGAGGCUCUAGAGCAUGAGGACAAAAAAUUGGUUGCGAGUCAUGCAAGAGUAGAUGGUAUUCCUGCAUGACAAUCACACUAUGACUUAAUAAAACUAUCUAAGGACAAGAGAGUUCUGAAAAUAUAUGGGUCUACAGGUUGAAAACUCAAGAGCACAGCUCACAAUCAAAGUACAAAGUAAGAUUGAUUGUGAAGGGAUUUAAUCAAAAGAAGGGUGUAGACUUUGAAGAAAUUUUCUCUCCUAUGGUAAAAAAUGUCAUCAAUUCGAGUUUUUUGGGUAUUGCAGCCAGAUUAAAUUUAAAAAUCAAACAACUUGAUGUGAAACAGCCUUCUUGCAUAGUGACUUGAAAGAGAUCUAUAUGGAGCAAUUGGAGGGGUUCAAAAAAAGUGACAAGGAAAACUUUAUAUACCGUCUCAAAAAGAACUUGUAUGGGUUGAAACAGGUACCGAGCCAGUGGUAUAUGAAAUUUAACUCCUUUAUAAUAGACCACAAGUAUCACAGGACUACAUCUGAUCACUGUGUUUAUGUGAAAAGUUUUCCAGAUGGUGAUUUUAUUAUUCUCUAUUGUAUAUUGAUGACAUGUUGAUUGUUGGUCGUGAUACUAUAAAAUUUGAUUGGUUGAAAAAGAAGCUAAAUAAAUCCUUUGCAAUGAAGGAUUUAGAUCCGGCUAGACAAUACUGGGAUGAAAAUCUCACAAAACAAGCAAAAUGGGAAGCUUUGGUUGUCUCAAAAAAGGUACAUUAAGAAGGUGCUCAUAGGUUUAAUAUGAGUAAAGUUAAGGAAGUCUCUACUCCACUUGCAGAUCACUUUAGAUUGGGCAUCAAGCAGUGUCUUACAAGUGAGAAAAAUAAGGAAGACAUGAAGAAGGUUCCUUAUGUCUCGAUUGUUGGUAGUUUGAUGUAUGUUAUGAUUUGCACCAUGUCAGAUAUUGCUCAUACAGUUGGAGUAGUCAGUCGGCAUCUCUUUAAUCCUGGUAAGGAACAUUGGAAUGCUGUCAAAUGGAUUCUCAGGUAUCUCAAGAGAACUUUCAAAUUGUGUUUAUGUUUCGGUAAUGGUAAAACUAUAUUAAACGAGUACACCAAUAUAGAUAUAGCAGGUGAUUUUGACAAUAGAAAAUUUACAUUUGGGUAGUUGAUAAUUUUUGCAGGAGGAGAAGUGUUAUGACAAAGUAAGUUACAAAAGUGUAUCGCCCUUUUCAGUACGAAGGUAGAUUAUAUCGCAACCACUGAAACAUGUAAGGAGACUUUUUGGUUGCAAAAAUCUUUCAAGAGUUAGGUAUGAUGCAAGAGAAGUAUAGUCUUUAUUGUGAUAGUCAGAGUGCCAUUCAUUUGUGUAAAAAUUCUACAUUUCAUUCUCAAUCCAAACAUAUUGAUAUGAGAUAUUAUUGAAUUCGGGAAGUAUUGGAUUUCAAGUUAUUGACACUUGAGAAAGUUCACUUUAAUGACAAUGUUGCUGAUAUGCUGACCAAGGCGUUGCCUAAGGAAAAACUCUUAUUUUCCAGACAGGAAGUAGGUUUGACUAUACCCCAAAUGAGUUGGAAGGGGAGAUUGCUGGGUGUGGGCCAGCCCAUUUGUAGGCCAAACUACAAAAUUAAUCCCAUUAGGUUGAAGUCAAAUUGGAUUUGGAAAACUUGACUUACUUUCUUGAAGAAAGGACAAAAGUUUCAGCUGAGAGAAAUCAACUGAGGAAGAAAAAGAGCAGCCGGUACUUUUCUUUGUUCGGUGAGAAACGAAAAAAGAGAAAUUUGGGAAGAAACUAGAGAGAGAAAUAACUUUAAGAUCUUGAUUGGAGGGCGAUUCGAAAACUUAAUUGAGACGAAAUUUUACCCACGCGAUCCUCUUGUCAAACUCUACUCAUCUAUUAAUUCAAAUUUUGGAUUUCUUCUUCGUUUUAUAACACCCUUUCAAAUCCAAUUUUUUGACAGUUGUAAUUUUUGGAGAUGAUUUUGUAGCGAUUUAAGUUGGUCGAUAUUAAUGAUAUUAUAGCCAUUUGAAUGUUCCAAAAAGACUUGUGUAUUUUCAUUAUUGUGAUAGUGGAGAUUUUUUGACCGGACUAGGUCCCGUGAUUUUUUCAAUUUGAAUUUUUUACGUAAAAAAUCUUGGUGUCCCGUGCCUUUUAUUUUUCCUGCAUUCUAUUAUUACUAUUGACACUAUUACUUGGUGAUUUGAUUUAUUUCUAUUUUAACUAGUACUUGAAAAAAAGUAAUUUGUUCUAAACUAACUCUGAUAUUGAGUGCUUGCAUCGAUACCCCUUUCUCAACAGAAAGGAAUACGGUAGGAGAGAGAAGGGAAGCAGCAGAUCAGGAAGAGAGGGAAAAAGUUAGAAGAUCUAUGGCAUGAGGUUCAGAAAUGAAUGGUCAGUCUAGAUAGUGCAACUGCCUAAUAUACCUUGCUUUAGAACAAAAAUUAUUUGACUUCGCUCACACAUAAAACUUCUCUAAAUGACUCAAUGAAACUAAUUACUUAAUACUCCUUGGUCCAGAUAACAUUUCAGCUAUAUCAUCACACAUAAAAAUCUUAAUGCUGUUUUGCAUGAUCUAAUAAAUAACUUAUCUGAACAAUUCUUACUAAGAAGCAACCACAGAAAAUUAGAGUUCAAUCUAAUUCAGCUGAUUCACUGCAUGUUCCUUGGUAAUAAACAAUUUGACUUGGUCUUUUAAGUGUUCAUGAAUGUUCAAUUAGUCAAAUAGUAACAAAAAUCAGGAAAUAAAUCUUUGAAAAGAUGGAUCUAAUUUCAAAGGUUCUUAUAUAUUAAUCAAGCCAUGGUACAAGUCUAAGGACAAGGAACACAUGGUAAAUCAUCAUUUGGUGCCACACUGGAUAACAUCGUAGUCAUGAGAAGAGUGACAAGCAUCUUAAAUCAUCAAAAGCGUGAAUUUAAUCAUAUAACUACUAAACAAUAUGCCAAAACUGUAGACAAUACGAGGCGCAAGAAAGACUAAAUAAUAGAAUUCCUUUGUUUGUAUACGAUACUUGUUUGAGCCUGUAAGAGCUAUGCUGUACAGUAUCUCAAAUGAAUUUCAGCUGCAAAAAGUUAUAAUCCUACACUAUCCAACAUCUAUCAUGAGAAGCGUGCACAAAAAUACUUCAAGCAUCAGUUUGGAAUUAGCACAAUGACUAUUUUCUUCUCUCUCCAUUUCCUAAAACAAUAAGAAGUUGAGCCUAGGCUUUUCAGCUAGUACCAUCUAACUUGUAUCAGUUGGAUGGGCUUAUUGUCCAGCGUCUUGUUUUUAUAGCAUGCUACAAUCUAGCACAAAGAAAUUGCAGAAACCUCUAAAAUGAUAAAAAAAUUAAGUGACUAUUCACAUCAUAUUUAACUCGUCCUUCUCAAUUCCCAACAGCCCCUAAAAACUUUCUUUUUCCCCAGAAGAAAAUCCAAGUUUAAUCUCCACAGUAUUUCCACCUCAUAUUCAACUCUCACUUUUCUCAAAUAGAAAAUGCAAUGAAUAAUUAAAGGAAAACAUCCCUUCCCACAUUGACAAUGUAUCGAUUAGCAUUUUUUGAAGUAAAUAAAGCAAAGGAACAUUAGAUAGUAAACUAGAAGGAGAAAAAAAUAGAACUGAUCAAAAUACUUCCAAGCAACAAUCUUUCCUAAUUUCUUAUAACUAGAAGUGCCAAAAUAGGUGACUUGAGUGGGUUGGGUUGGUUAAAAUGGGUAAUGGGUAUAAACGAGUUAACUCAUUUAUACCCAUUUAAUUAGAUGGAUAUAAAUGGGAUAAGUCAAAAAAUGAAUUGGGUAGCCCAAUUAUCCAUUUAUAUCCCAUUUAUUUUAACUUUUCAUAAUCUCAUUUAAAUUCAUUUUUGUAAACUAUGUUAUGAAUUUGUACCACCCUUUGCACCCAUCAUAAGUUUUAAAUAUUUACUUAUAAUGUUCAAUACGCCUAAUUACCAAAUUUUUUUUCAUCCGUACUCUAUGUUGCAAAAUUAUAUACUAUUUAAUAAUUGAACAAUAAGAAUAUAAAAAUUUGAUCUUAGUACUAUAAAAGUUAAUAUAAAAACUUGAUUCAAAAAUUUUGAACUCCUAAUAUUUUUUUCAUGUGUAAAUUUAAAAUUUCAUUUUGAAAAAGUAGGAAUAGAUGUUAAAACUUGUCAUAAAUUGAUAAUGGUAAAAAAUGAGUAAAUUAACAAACCAAGAGAAAAUAAAAUGAAAAGAUAAAAUUCAUAAAUAACAAUAAUAAUAAUAAAACAAAAGUAGUUAACAACAUGACAAAAUGAAGAAUCUGAAAAAAAAAGGGUGGUGGAAGAGAGGGGGUUUAGGGAAAGACAAUUCUAAAUGGAUUAAUUGGAUUUGAUACGUUACCCAAUAAUACAUAUUUAUUAAAUGAGUAUUAUUGGGUAAUCCAUUUAUACCCAUAUACAAAAACUUAAGAUACCCAUAUCAUUAUAUUCAUGGACGGUUAUGGAUAAAUUUAAUUAAAUGAGUUUGUUUGCUACCUAUACUUAUAACAAUCAAAAUCCACUUUUAAGGCUAAGUAUCAUACAUCACUUUUUUUUUUUUUGGUCAAAAUGUCAACUUGUAUAUCAUACAUCACUUGACUAUAGGACAUCUUUGUUUAAUGUCUAUCUCUGCCAUCUGUCAAACAAAUAUACCUCUCCAAGCAUGCUUCAUCCCUUAUUUAUAUAUCCUGUACCUCUAGUAUCAAAGUCAUUCUGCAACCAUGAUUUUGUUUUGUUUUUUUUAUCAACCUUAUAACUGGUCCUAGGAAGAUUCUAAAAACUGGUGUGGCCAACGUGUUAGAUUAAGGGAAGAAGGGCCAAGGCCACCAACAGUACUAUCUUUAAAUUUAGCUGGAAAACAAUUACAGAAAAAGGAACUAUCUACAUCCUGUAAAAUACCAAAUAUUAUAUGUACCAAAGAUUCAGGGACCCAUCCCAAUAGCUGCAUCACAAAAAAAUGCUAAAGAAAAUCAUUUCCUUCCAAUAGCUCAUGACCCUCAGAAACCAAAUAUAACUAACAAUACAUUCUUUAUUGCCCUAUAAAGGAUAUCAAGCCAUAAAGGAGUCAACAUAAAAAAAUAGAAACAAAAAGCACUCAAGGUCAUCGAAGAUCUAAAAAAAAAAAAACUACCAGGAAAGCAUAUCUAGCAACUACCUGUUCAGAUUAUUGUUAUAGUUUCCCUAAAUCCUUUACCCCAAAUCUUCUCUCUUCUGUCUGAAAAUGUUACUGUCAGUGCCCAGACCGUACAAUGUCAUAUGAGUAUGCAUCUGGGCGAUUUUGAAUUUUUCAAAACUAAGGUAUCGGUACAUGGCCAAAGAUCUAGAAUCGACUAGAGGGGGUCUCUCUUGUAUCCUAUCUGCAAGUAGCAUAUUAAAUACAACUUAAAUUAUGAAAUGGCUCAAAAUUUCUAAAUGAUCCAAAAAAAAAAGAAGACAAGAAAAUUAGCUUAAAAUAAAGAAGAAGAAAAUUUUGGGGCAGAAAUGAUUGCGCAACCAGUUUCUGAAUGGUAUAAAGCUUUAGUGACAAAUUAUAAUUCAUUGUAUACAAGACACAAGUUAUAUAAUUUCAAAAUGGUGACAUGAAAUUAUAAGAUUGUUAACAAUUAAACGUAUGUGUUUGUUAUUGUUAGAUAACAUUAUCUGAAUCCUACUUCUCGAAAAUUUAUUUUGUUGGCAAAAUUAAAAAACUGUUCUGAUCGAUCCAAAAAGGAAAAAAGAGAAAUUAAAGUACACGGUUGAGAUCUAUUCUCUCUCUCUCUCUCUGGGGACAUUCCAACCACGUGCAACGUAGUCUGCUAAUGACGGUUUCCUCUGGUAGAGAAAAAGAAAAUUGAUGAUGGGAGAGCUUUAACAAAAUGACAACCGCUAUAAGAAAAACCCUAACCGCUAAUCUAUUUGUCAUGCAUGCAGACGAAAAUCUCCACUUAUUUUUGUGUCCAUGUUAAGUUGGUUGACUUGGCUGUCAAUUCAGUAACAAAAUCAGUGACGUUUCUAUAAGGACUCUAUUUAAAAUGUAGUUCCAUCCAGUUAAAAUGUUGUUUUCGAUUUUGGCAAGUUUCACAGAUAAAUUUCAAACUAAGAGUAGCAAUUAUGCAGAUAUAUAGCCUUCUAAAGAGAUUCAAAUUCACUAUUAAUGCUCUUUAGUAAGCUUGUGAAUCCGAAAAGCCUCUUAGCUAGGGACAUUUCAUGCUUGCACCUGAUAGCAGAGUUUUAAGAGGAAAUGAAUUAAAAACUUUACUAAGGAGUUUUAAGCUUUUUAUUCUUUUCUCUUGGUAUCUUUCCCUUUUCCUUCUCCUCCUCACCUUUGAUGAAGUACUCAUGAAGUGUAAAGAAGAAAACUUAGGGAUGCAAUUUUCUGGGAUUUUUUUCAAUAUCUUGAUGGCAUUACUCCUUCGAGUUGGAUCUCAUAAUUCAGAAAAUUUAAUCUCCUGUCACAGCAUGAUCCAUUCAAGUUGCUGAAAACAAAAAUAGAAGCAACAAAUUAUUGCUCCAUGAACACAUGAAAAAUUAUCUCAUAAAACUUGAUUCAUUUUGGUGUCAUUGCAGGUAACGAUGCUAGGAUUGAGCCACAUAUUGAUCUUAACGUCUAUAUAUGUCAUAACCUUCUUUCUCCUUAAUCUAUGUAGCAAGAUAAAAACACUUAGGCAUAAAGUUACAUCUUCUAUUCCGACUCCAAAACUCACUAUCUAGAUUUUACAUAAUUAUACUUCUUGGUAACAUGUCAUGGCAUUGUUAAAUCGAUUGCUUUAGGGAUACUUCCUUGGAAAACCUACCAUUAAUCAUCACCUUCUUCUUCCUUGCCAGCGGCUUAGAUUUUACAUAAUUAUACUUCUUGGUAACAUGUCGUGGCGUUGUUAAAUUGAUUGCUUUAGGGAUACUUCCUUGGAAAACCUACCAUUAAUCAUCACCUUCUUCUUCCUUGCCAGCGGCCAAAGCCUUUCUCUCUCCGAAAUAGUUGCCGCUGCUACUAUCUUGAUCUGCCGUGGCUUCCUUAUCAAAUGGCUGGCCUUUUGUUUAGCCAAGAGGUCGCCGAUGUUGUACCGGUGACCUAGCAGCAAGGACGGCUCAAGCGACCCUUUCUUCUUCUCUCCCCGAACCGCAUCUUUUUUUAACCCCAUCAACUUUCCAUAUUUUCCUUUCUAUACAAAAAUUAACCCUAAAGUUAAGGAAGAUUCCUGCCUUGACUCGAACUCUUUAGAGUUUUCUUCAAAUUUUGCCCUUAAUUGAUUUAAUUAACUUUUUAAAGUUAAUUAGGCUUUACACGCCUUUAUGUUGGAAUAAAUAUAAAUGUUGUACUUUUUAGUAGGCAAGUUAAUUAUUAUUAUUAUUAUUGUUUUUGGACAAAAGAGGGGUGGAAUGCAAGAAACAAGUAGGGGGAAGGGGAAAGAAGGAUUUAAAUCCAAGUCCUCCAAUUCUUAGAGUCUUAAUCUUAGUUAAUUAAAAUUUUCAUGCUUUUAUGUAGUAUUGUUUCAUAUGUCGUAUUCUUCAUAAGGGUUUAUUGAGUACUUAUGCGUUGAUUCAUAACUUUUGGAAAAUCUUCAGAGUAUCUAAUUUUUACUUUUCCAAUAUCCUUUUAAUAAAUUUCACUAUGAUCUAACAGAUAUUGAUAUAGUUCUAGACUAUUAACAUGAAGAACUGAAACCAUAUGCUUUUGAGAAUUAUGAGAGUUAAAGAGAGUGUUGGUAAUAAAUAAGCACAUACUUAGUUCACACAAAAUUUAAAGUAUUGUGGAGGCAAAGUUAUUAGAUCUAAUGGAUUGAGACACAGGGUCAGUCACAAAUACUACAAGAUCUGAGUCCAACACGGAAGACAUGGAAAGUUGGCGGGUUGUGGUUGGCGUAAAAUAUUAUAUUUGACAGAUGCCGGACCUGUGCAAUAAUAAUAAAUAAAACCUAACUACACCUGAAGUAGUCAAUAAUCAAUUCUAGUACUGGAGCAGAGACUCUAGGUGUGCAAUGGAUUACUUGAUUCACCCUGUUCCCGAAGAGUUUCCUUAAUCCGAUAUACCUAAAUUAAUUAUUUAACUGAAUUCACUAACUCGUGGACAGUGAUAAGCAGGGUCGUCUCCUCAGGGAUUGGAGAGAAAUUUGUUUCUUUUCAACUCAAGAUUAAUGGGGGUUUUGGGAUUAAAUGCCAAUUAGAAAAAUUAAAUGCAGAAAAUAAUUAAUUAAAAGAGAUAAUUAGAGAAACUCCAGCCAAGGGUACACUUUAGAAAUGGUUCAUGCACUGAUCAUCGAUUCACAGAUAAUUUCAACAUUUAUUAAUAAAUUAGUUAUAGUUGUCAUGCACGCGAUAAACAACCAACAUUUCCUUAAUUUCUCGAUAAUUAAGGUACGACUGUUAACUAUUUUUCUAACCCGAAAACAACCCUAAGUACGACCGUAGGAUUUAAUUUCUAAAUUGCAUUAAUAAUUAGAAAGACCCAAUCCUAACUAACUAACACUCUAUGAAAGUUUGUUUAAACUAGAUCGUAUGUUCCCCUGACAUAAACCCGAUUACGCCAGUUGCUACUGAGAUAGAGAUAACGAACAAUUACGGAUUCAAUUACUCCUAUUUAGCAAAAUAUCUUAUAUGAAUAAUUGAUUAUUGCACACUAAUCAAUCAUACACAAGGACUAUAACAAUUAAAAGCAGGAAACAUAUAAAUACCAAUAAAUGAAGAAAAUAAUUAAAAACGGUUUAGAUCUCAUAGUAAUUGUUGAACCAAAUCUUCAGUUGCCUCCUUGACUAAAAACACGAUACUAGUUCUCCAUUAAUGGAGAACAAGCCAUGCAAAUAAUUGUUCCAAGCUUUUUCCUUUUUGUUUUUCCUCGCAAAAGUCGGCUAAAAAAGAAAAGAGUACAAAGACCUAAGUCACGGCCCUCUUCUCAAUUCCUAUUUGUUUUUGCUUCCUCCGGAGAACAAAACUCUCCUCCAAUUUGUUGCUUGCCAAACUCCUAAUCAAACGUGAAUCCGGCUUUCUCUUUUCCGUCUCUUGUGCGACCAGGCCCACCAAAGAGGCACUCACGCUGCUGACUCCUUCCAGUAUUAAUCACACGGGCCGGCCAUCCUAUCAUUUGCCUAAUUUUUAGCUUUUUAAAACCAAAUAGAUUUCCUCCUAAUCUUCCGUCAAUAAUCCACGUAGACUCCAUUUUGAAUUGGAAAACUCUUGAAAUGUGAGAACCCGUAAUUUUCAUUUUCUAAGUUUUAUUAUUUUUCAUGACUUGUUUUCUGCAUUUUCGUGAUUCGAAAAUUUUUCUAGAUAAAUUUAAGGAGCAGAUAUAAUUUUUAGAUGAUUUUUCUAGUAUCGAAUAGAUUUGAGAAAUUAAGAGCAGAUACCGGACGUGGGACCACUAGUGCGAAAAGUCCGGAAAAAUUCGGUCAACUAGAUUAAGUUUUGGAUACUGGAAUUAUUUUAUCGGGUGUUAAGAGAUAAUUAGAAGAAGCUAUUUGGAUUGAUGUGAGAGGGAACAAAGUGAUAGACUUGCAUUAAAUUGGGUGACAAGUGUCACCAUUUGAUUGGGUUACCUUUAAGACUACUAUUCCAUGUCUUACAUUGACCAAAUAAAUCACAAAAUUAACCAAAAAUUGCACCAUUUUCUCCUCUCAAGUGCCGGCCCUCUCUCUCAAAGGAAGAAAGAAAACCUCUUCAAGUUUUGGCUUCAAUCUUGCUUCAAUCAUCAAAACCAACCAUCCAACCUUGAUUUUUCUCCAUAAAACACCUUCAAGUAGUGGUGGUGAGUUGUUGUAUGAAGUUAUUUGGAAGGUUAAGGUGACCCAUAGCUCUUUCUCCUUGUUUUAAAGGUAAGUUGUGAAGAACCACCCUCCUUCUUUAAUUGAUGCUCAAAUCAUGCUUAGUGGAAGUAGAAGAUGCAAGUUUAUGGAUUAAUUCUUGAUUUGUGGUUGAAUUGAUGACUUUUUAUUAUUUUUGGGGAAUUUUCUGUUUUAAUUCAAGCAUGAUGGUGUGGCUCUCUAUGAUGUAUGGAAAUGAUCUAUAAUGACUUAAGGAGGUGGGAAAAGUGAUUAAUUGCAACCAAUUUCUGUUUUUGGAAGAAAAUUGGAAAAUCUAGGGUUCUUAAGGGUACAUUCUGUCUGAAUUUUUAGGUACUAGAUAGAGGCCGAAUUGGCCUUAGCUCAAAACAUGAAAGUUGUAGGGAAUGACAUUUUAAAGGUGCCUACAAAAAUUUCAGGUCAUUUGGAUUAGUGUAGAGUGAGAUAUGAUGAAAUUACUGUAGCUGUUCUGCUUUGAUCAGAAUGCGAAAACUGCGAUAGUAAUUGGCCAUUUUGACUGGAAUUUGUUUGGAUUUUGGAGUUGGUGUCUUCUGAUGAAAUGUAGCUGGAUGUCUUAGCUAACUUAUGCCUUUAGAAUUCGGCAUUUGGACUUGUAUAGACUGAGUUAUAGUAAUUACAGUUUUGUGUGAUUUGCAAACCUGUUUUGGGAAUUAUGGUAUAGUAUUUUGCAUAUUUGACCUAGUUGUGUUAGGAACUGGAUUGAGUGACCUUCUACAUUGUUGUAGCUCUGUUUCUUGGCUUCGAAAUGGUGGGUCUUACACCCCAUCCGAUAAUUGUAGUGAGAGUUGUGCCAUUACCAAAAUGACGUCAAAACUGUAUUUUCCGGGCCAAUGCUAGUUACAUUUCCGAAAUUUCUGGUUUCCUCUAUUGUUUGUAAAUGUUUAUGGAACCUUAUUGGGGUCAUGUUUGGCCUUGGUUUAUGACUCGUUAUCGAGUCUCAUUGUAUUUGUUUGCAUGUUUUUAGGGCGUGACGGUGGUGCACAACGUUCUUUUGACUAAAGUGUUUGAAACCACAUUGUGCUAGCUUGGUGAGUGUACUACUCACUUAUGUGCUAUUACAUGGCUUUGAUAUUUGUACUUGAGAUGUUGAAUGUUGAUUGAUCCAAGUGAGCGUGUACUUUAUCACUUUCACUUAUUGUUUCGCAUGUUAUUGGAAAGUUAUAUGAAAUGUUAUAUGAAAUGAAAUACAUGACUUCAAAUAUUAUCCAUGAGCUCAACCCCAUUGGUUAUUGAUUGAAUCGAGCCGGCGAGGGCUUGGUCGUGCCAAUUAAUGUGCCUUGGGCAACAUCAUAGGGAAUCUUGUAGUAUGAGAGACUCUUGAUUCCGGUUUACUCGAGUAAUACCACAAUGUAAGAGUUUGGAUUUCGGGCCGCGUUGAGGAAUGUUAGGAGGAAGGGAAUGGAAGUUAAGAGGAGUCUACGGUUGGUUACCUUUCAGACAUUGACGGAGAGUCAAUGAGACCUGAUCAAGAAUUCAAACGAGGAAAAGGGCUCUUGAGAGCCACCCGUAUCCUUUUAUCCUCAUUAUUAAUGUGUGGCUUUAUUUAUUUUGGUAAAUUGGACUGUUAAACUUGAUGUAUUCAUGAACUUGGUUGCUUGAGUUGUAUUCUCACUGGGCAAUUAGCUCACCCCGUUCCUUUUGUUUUCCUUACAGGAAUAUGACUCUUUUGGAAUGAAUUUUGAUAAAUGGUUGCCGAAUGAACUAGAUGAAUGACUCUUUUGUAUUGUAUAUAAAAUGGGACCCUAAAUGUAUCAUUAGGGCCGUUUUCACUUUUGUUUUGGCAAACCAUAUAUGUAGUGACUUUUGUAUCACUUUUAAAUGUCAUUUUUGGUUUGUAAAGGCUAAAUGUUAUGUGGUAUAUGUAAUUCGAUGUUUGGUUGGGUUCGGACGAGUCGGUUACUAUUCAUGGCCGAUUCCGGAUUUCAUUUUCUUUUAUUUUGGGUUAUUUUGCCCUUUUGCCUUAUUUGCGCUCGUUAUAAGUUCCGGAACGUGAAAGAUCGCUCUAUACUGCACCGUUAGUCCUGGCGAGAGCUGGGCAGGCAGUCCGCUAACCCCUUUGGUUCGCCUUAGGGGAAGGUGGGGCUGUCACAGGUGGUAUCACACCUUUUAUCUCUUUUUGCUCCACCUCACAACAAUUAGUACCAAGUACCAAAUAUAAGUAGAAUCUAACAAUUAAUACAAUAUUUGGUAUAAUAAAAGAGGAAAAUAAUCAUAGAAUUAAUGACAAAAAUACAAUCUAUCAAUUUCCCCCACACCUAAACCAUACUUGUCCUCAAGCAUGAGAACAACAAGUCAAAUAAUCAAAUUCAAGCAAUGGCUAUUGUUCAAAUCUUCUAUUGCCAAAAUACAAUUAAAACACAUGUCAAGUAUUAGUGGCAAUUUUCAAGAAAUAUCUUUUCAAUUAGCUUUCAAGAUCAAGAAUUCUUUCAAUUUAUGACUAACUAAUCUAAGAAUAUAAAAUAUUCAACCAGCAUCCAUAAGCAAAUGGUUCGACUAUUAAGCAAAUUCUCAACAAUAAAAUUUAUGAAUCAGCGGGCUAGCAAUUCAUUCACAUUUUUCACUAUUAGCAUUUUUUUUUUAGAAUAUCCCCACUUAAUUGAUUUUUUUUCUUCAGGGGGAAUGCUUAGUUUUUAACCAUUUAAUCGUUUUGAUGCGAACUCCGACAUUGGCCAAAUGAAAUAACCCGGUUACUUAACUUUUAUCGCUAAAGGACCACAUACUCAUAGCUAUCGUUGCUUUUUUUACGCAAAAAUCGACGCUUAUGGUGAAGACCUCUGGUUACUAGGUAACGAUACUAGUGGAGUAUAGCCGAAUACUAUUCAUAAAUAAGUACCAAAUUAAAAUUAAUAAUCACACAAACCCGCUUUAUUUCUUAAACAUGGAGAACUAAGAUUAAUAGUUGAACCAAUUUACAUUAAAAAAAUGCUAGACAAAUAUUUACAAUACUUAGAAAAGUUAACCAAAAAGCGCAAAAGUCACAAAAUCUCAAAUAUUCACAAAAAAUAUACCCUUAAAUUUAACCAUGUCAUACUCAACACCUUAGAGUGUAAAAUCUUAGCAAUAGAAAAUUUUGAGACAUCUAACCAUCGUUAAUCAGAAACAAUCACAAAAAUGCACAAAGAUAGGCAAAAAUUGGAUAAAAUUCAACAAAGUCAAACAAAAAAUUCCAACCAAAAAUGCCUACACUUGCACUUUUUCAAUAAAAUACCGAUAUACUACUCCCCCCGCACCUAAAUCUUACAUUGUCCCCAAUGUAAGUAAUAAAGAAUAAAAUUCAAAGCAAAAAGGGACAACGAAACUUCCCUAAGCACGCAAUGGAGGGUCUCAACCAGCUAUGACAUAGGUGGGAAUGGUCGGUUCUUCCUUUUAUCCUUUGUUUGAGUAGAGAUAAGAACAGGCAGUGAGGGACUGGCGCCGAUGGUAAGUUCGCUGGCUGCGGCGGCUGAACGAAGAUGGUGGCUGUAGCGGGCUGGGGAGGUGCUCGGUGCGGUGACGAUGGAGCAGCGGCGGACAGCCAAGCGGGCGAAAGCAGCAGCGGGAAAGGGGGAAAAAAGGGAAAGAAAGAAAGAAGAAGAAAGAAAAAGAACCAUGGGUUUAUUUUUUUUGGAACCCCUGUGUUAGGGGUGGGUAGGCCUGACUGCCUUCGAGUCUUUUGACCAACUGUCCGAAAUUAAGAUCCUUAAGUGUGACCAUCUGACGUGGGGCACGCCUAACUACUAGAGAGUUUUCUGACCAAUUUUCAGAAAUUGAGUUCCUUAGGCGUAACCACUUGGCAUGGGCACGCCUAACUACUAUAGAGUUUUCUGACCAAUUUUCAGAAAUUGAGUUCCUUAGGCGUAACCACUUGGCAUGGGCACGCCUAACUACUAUAGAGUUUUCGCCGAUGAAAAUUGCUUUCCUUAAGCGUGACCAUUUGGCGUGGGUACGCCUAACUGUUGGGUAGUUUUCUGUCCGCCAAAUUAAAAUUUCCUUCCUUAGGCGUGACCACCUAGCGUGGGCACGUCUAACUGCCAGCUUCCUGCUACAAAAGCAACAAAUCACUAAAUGCAACUAAUACUUAACAAAAACUCCAAAAACAUAAGAAAACUAAAACAAAGGCCUUGGGUUGCCUCUCAAGUAGCGCCUUUCUUUAAUGCCUUUGGUUAGACAUUACCAUGUUUAUUCACGGAGACAAAAAUCGUGUAGCUCGUUUCAAUGCUUCAUUUUCUAUGUAAUCCUGAUAGCCCUCAUAAAUAGAAUAAUCCUUGAGCAUACGAGGUACGGUCUUCCAUGGAUUAGUAGAUGGCGCAAAACAAACAAGUGAUGACCUUAAUUCUUCACUCACUCCUCCAUCAAGAGCACUUAUUGGUUCGAGAUAUUUUACCAUCAUGACUCUUAACUUAUUCCUGUCAUGAAACUCAAAAUUUUCUGGCAUAAUAAAAUCAAUCUCACUAACAGGAAUUAAAGAAUAAGAAUCAAGAGAAUAUUGAUUAAGGAAUGGAGGAGAUGUCACCGCAUUCGGCGAUUAUUCACUGGAUUCAUUCACUUAAGCAAUUUGAUGUUGGGGUCUCAUUUCUUGCACUUCAACUUCCUUUUUAACUGCAUAUUUAGAUUUGUCUUCUUGAGACUUUUGUAGUUUCAUGUCAUUUGUCAGGACAAUUGCACUCUCAUCUUCCUCAUGGUCGAUGAUAGUCUGUGAGGGCAAUUUUUCAUACAUUUGAGAAGUCAACUGCGUUAUCCUAGAUGUCAAUUGAUUCACUUGAUCUGCCAGGUUAAGCAUGCUCGCUUGUGUCUCCUGAUGAAAAUCUAUUGUUUCCUGAUGAAAAUCCAUUGUCUUCUGUUGAAGUUGAUGUGUCUCAUGUUGAAUUUGAUAUGUGUUAGUAGCUAUUAAUUCAACUAUUUUUUCAAAAGACAUACCUGACAUGGAUGACGAUUCUUGAGACUCUAGCUGUUGAAAAUCUAUUAGACUUUGUUCAUAAUUAAAAGUGAAAUCAUCCCACCAUUCUUGAUCAUACUCGUUUGAAUAAGGGUCAUACCAUAUUUGAUAUUGAGGUGAAAAAUUUUCAAAAGUAUCGAUUAGAGCACUUAGACCAUCUUGAAAUGCAGGACAUAUGUCGGUUGAAUAAUUUGAGACAAAAUAAGUUUCACAAUUUGCAACAACCUAUUGAUCAUUAGAAAAAGCACGAGUCUCAUAACCCCUUCUCGAAAUAAAAUUCAAUCUAUCACUAAAAUACGGAAUGUUAACAACCAUAAACUAUAUAUUAAAAAAUAAGAGAAAAAUAAAAAAAAUAAAAAUAAGAUGAACUCAAAAAGAAACAAAUUAAUCAGGCACCACUCUCCAGCAACGGCGCCAAAAAUUGACAGGUGUCGAACCUGUGCAAUAAUAAUAAAUAAAACCUUACUACCACCUGAAGCAAUCAAUAAUCAAUUCUAGUACUGGAGCAGGGACUCUAAGUGUGCAAUGGUUUACUUGAUUCACCCUGUUUCCGAAGAGUUUGCUUAAUCCGAUAUACCUGAAUUAAUUAUUUAAUUGAAUUCACUAACUAGUAGACAAUGGUAAGCAGAGUCAUCUCCUCAGGGACUGGAGAGAAAUUUAUUUCUUUUCAAGUCAAUAUUAAUGGGGGGUUUUGGGAUUAAAUAUCGACUAGAUAAAUUAAAUGCAGAAAAUAAUUAAUUAAAAAAGAUAAUUAGAAAAACUCUAGCCAAGGGUACACUUUAGAAAUGGUUCAUGCACUGAUCAUCGAUUCACAAAUAAUUCCAACAUUUAUUAAUAGAUUAGUUAUAGUUGUCAUGCAUGCGAUAAACAACCAACCUUUCCUUAAUUUCUCGAUAAUUAAGGUACGACCGUUAACUAUUUUUCUAACCCGGAAACAACCCUAGGUACGACCGUAGGAUUUAAUUUCUAGAUUGUAUUAAUAAUUAAAAUGAUCCAAUCCUAACUAACAAACACGCUACGAAGGUUUGUUUAAACUAGAUCGUAUGUUCCCCUGAUAUAAAUCCAAUUACGCCAGUUGCUACUGAGAUAGAGAUAACGAAUAAUUACGGAUUCAAUUACCCCUAUUUAGCAAAAUAGCUUAUAUGAAUAAUUAAUUAUUGCGCACUAAUCAAUCAUACACAAGGGCUAUAACAAUUAAAAGCAGGAAACAUAUAAAUACCAAUAAAUGAAGGAAAUAAUUAAAAACGAUUUAGAUCUCACAGUAAUUGUUGAACCAAAUCUUCAGUUGCCCCCUUGACUAGAAACAAGAUGCUAGUUCUACAUUAAUGGAGAACAAGCUAUGCAAAUAAUUGUUCCAAGCUUUUUCCUUUUUGUUUUUCCUCGCAAAAGUCGGCUAAAAAAGAAAAGAAUACAAAGACCUAAGUCAUGGCCCUCUUCUCAAUUCCUAUUUGUUUUUGCUUCCUCCGGAGAACAAAACUCUCCUCCAAUUUGUUGCUUGCCAAACUCCUAAUCAAACGUGAAUCCGGCUUUCUCUUUUCCGUCUCUUGUGCGGCCAGGCCCACCAAAGAGUCACUCAUGCUGCUGACUCCUUCCAGUAUUAAUCACACGGGCCGACCGUUUUCCUAAUUUUUAGCUUUUUGAAACCAAAUAGACUUCUUCCUAAUCUUCCGUCAAUAAUCCACGUAGACUCCAUUUUAAAUUGGAAAACUCUUGAAAAAUCACAUCUUUUAUCUCUUUUUGCUCCACCUCCCUCCAAUUAGUACCAAGUACCAAAUAUAAGUAGAAUCUAUCAAUUAAUACAAUAUUUGGUAUAAUAAAAGAGGAAAAUAAUCAUAGAAUUAAUGACAAAAAUACAACCUAUCAAUAUUAAUCAUGCAAUGAAAACGUUGAUGAAUUAUAAUAGAGAGCCAAUCUUACGGUGAAAACAAGGACGAACUGUAACUAGGAGUCAACCAUACAAUGAAACCGUGGACAAUUUUUCAGCAAGAUAAAGAAGAUUAUGUACGUUAGUCUAAUUUAUAUUUCAAUCUCCAGCAAGCUUAGGUUCCACCAUGGGAUUGAUCUGAUUUUAACCUAUUUUAUAUCCUUUCAACUAGAUUCGUCCCAUAUUUGCUUCUGUUUCAAUCGGUUGAACCAACCUAUGUGGUUCAAUUUGUCAAAAAAAAAAAAGAGUUUGGUUGAGAUGAUUGAACAAUUACACAAGAAACUUACUAUUUGUGGGUCCAGUUACACAAGAAACUUAAAAUUGUGGGUCCAAUUUGUCAAAAAAAUGAGUUUGGUCUAGAUGAUUGAACAAUUACACAAGAAACUUAAAAUUUGUGGGUCCAAUUACACGAGAAACUUAAAAUUGUGGGUCCAAUUUGUCAAAAAAAAAAAAGAGUCUGGUUGAUAUGAUUGAACAAUUACACAAGAAACUUAAAAUUUGUGGGUCCAACGUACCAAUGGAGCAGAAGGAAUUGUACUCUUAAAUCUCAGUACAUGCUAGUUCAAUCAUAGAUAUAGUUAAAAUCUCUUAGGUGCUAUUUUCCCCUCACACUUUAUUACCGGGCAUCCUGCACCUUUCACUACUGUCUCCUCUCACACAUCAUGUUUUUUAAGUUGGAAUAGUAUCAACCUUUCAUUCGACGGACAACAUUGCAUUCAAGGUUCUAGUGGGAGGGAGUUGCCAUUGCUACGCUCCGAUAACAAUACUGGGUAGGGAUGGCAAUGGGACAGGGGAUCCCUCUCCCGUAAAAAUAAAAUAAAAUCUGUUAGGUGUUAUUUCCCCCUCACACAUUAGAACUAGGCAUCCUGCACCUUUCACAAUUGUCUCCUCCUCACAUAUCGGGUCUUUAAGUUGGAAUACUAUCAACCUUUCAUUCGACGGACAACAUUGCAUUUAAGUGUCUAGUGGGAAGAGUUGCCAUUACUAUGCUCCGAUAACAAUGCUGGGUAGGGAAGGCAACGGGAUGGGAGAUCCCUCUCCCGUCUCCCGUCUUGGUGCCAAAUAUCUCCCCAUACACCCACUCCAUCCUUUACUCCUGCCCUUACCCCUCCUAGCUGCCCUCAGGGAGUUUGCAGCGGGGAAUGCAUAAAAAUUUGCAUCCUAUAGCUAUUUGCUUCCAAAUAACCAACAAAAAUUCAACAUAUCAACCCAUGGGGGGACGGGUGUCCUUAUUGCCAUCACUAGUGUUACAUAUUAUUGGCCUUUUUAUCACGAAAGCUAUCUCAAAAGUUAAAAGUUUUCCCUCACAUGUAUAACCAAAUAUCCUUUCCCUUCCACAGUUGAUGCAGAAUAAACUGAAAAUUCCCCAUUCACAUUAGGCCCGAGGUUGGAAUAGCAUCAACCUUUCAUUCAAUGGGUGCAAGUUGGGAAAACACCAACCUUUCAUUUGACAAGCAACAUUUCAUUCAAGUGUUUAAAUUGAUUAAUUUUUCAUUUGAAGAUGAAAUUGGUCAGCAAUUGACAGUUUAAAUACUAAAUGUGUCAUGUUAAAAAGUUUGAGAACGAAAUGUAUCUAUGACCUAAAGUUUAGGGACAUUUUCCUGCGUUUUACUCUUUUCUAUCAAUAUGUUAAGUUAUAAGACGCUCUGGAUGAAGACAGAAAACGUUUCUUUGAAAACUUCCAUUUAGGAGAUACUUAGGAUACGAGUUUAUGGGAUCAUUUAUACCUUCAUUAAUUGCAUUAGUACUCUUUCGUGUUGGACUCAAUAGCUCAUAAAUCUAUAUUAUCUCUUGCCACAAGAUGAUUAGUUGAAGUUUGCUAAAUACAAAGUGUAUAGGAUCAACAAUUUGUUGCUCUAUGAGUAUAAGAUUAAUUAUUAAGGCCCUAAAACUUACUUGUAUUUUGGUGUUAUUCUAGGAAAAGAGGUCAGCAUUGAACCACGUAUUGAUCUUUAAGGUUGACAGGUUGUCGAAACCUGUACAAUAAUAAAAUUAAACCUAAUUGCCAGUUGAAAUAACCAAAACCCAAUUCCAAGUACUGGAGCGGGACUCUAGGUGUGCAAUGGGUUACGUGAUUCACCCUAUUCCCGAAGAGUUUGCUUGAUCCGAUAUACCCGAAUGGGAUGGCUUUUUUCACAAAUAAUUAUGAACUUAUAGAUAGGGCAAGUAGGGUCGUAUCCUCAGGGAUUGGGGAUAUUUGUCUCUUUAGAAAUCCAAAGUAACACAGGGGGUGAUUUUGUAUGAACGACGACAAUUAAAAAAAUUCAAAUAAGAAAAUAAAAAUAAUUAACUAACUAGAAAUUAAAUAACAAUUCACUAAAUUUAGAGUAACAAUAAUUAAAGGUCUAGAACAAUUAAAAUAAGAAAACAACUAAAAAUAAAAUAAAAUAGGCAACUAGAAAUCAAAUGGCAAUGUACUAAAAUCAAGAUAAUAUUAAUUAAAAAUCUAGCCAAGAAAUAACUUCAGCAAUGGUUCACCUAAUUGAUCAUCGAAGCAAAGGCAAUUCCAAUUAUUUAUCAAUAAAUAGGUUAUAACUACCAAACAAGCGAUGACAGUCAACCCCUCCUUACUGUGUCGGUGAUUAAGGUACGCCCGUUAAUCACUGCUCUAAUUAGGAAAUAAAUCCUAGGUACGCCCGUAAGAUUUAAUUUCCUAAUUACCUUACGUAUUAGAGGAGCUCUAUUCUAACCAAAUAACACACUACCAGGGUUAUUUUAGGUUAGCCCGCGAAUUCCCUUGACACAAACCCAAUCAUGCCAGUUAUCACUAUUUUAAAGUAAUUAAACAAUUACGGAUUUAGUGCCCUAAUUGACAAUAGAUUACCUAAUCAACUAAUUAUCCGGAUCCAAGACAAUCAAUUAAUUGGACAAUUAUAAUUACUGUAAUAAGAGAAUAUGCGAAUACUAAUAAAUAAAAUGAAAAAGAUAAAAUUAAAUCGAUCUCACAAGUUUUAGGUGAACCAAAGCCUCUGUUUUUCCUUGACUAGAGUGGGAAGAUUAGUUCAUAUUUGACAUGAAGAACCCACACACAAUUGAAGAGAAAGCAGCUGUCAUCGUCCUUUGAGAUUUGAAGAAUUCAGAUCGUCCAAGUAUUGAAUAGAUAGUAAGCCACAAGAAGUAAUUGAUGGCUUUUUCUUUGUCUGACAUACAAUGGGUAAAGAAGCUACCAAAAUUCCUAAGGAAAGAAAAGUCAAAAUCCUGAGCCAAAACUAAAGAAACGGAAAACUAAGAGGACAAGCCAGAACGUCCCUUCCUAUGCUAUUUUUUUGGUUUUUAUCCUCCGCUUCUCUCAGAUGUGCGGCGGCCCACAAGAGAAAAGAGGACUUCGGCCCAAAUUACCCAAGAAGGGCUCGCACCUGUUUUCGUUCCCAAAAUGCACCUGGAUGACUGCUACUGAGCUCUUUCCUGAUGAAUGCCAAAUUGGCACUAGUUAUGAUAUUUUUGUUCUACUCUCUGAAAUAAAUACGAAUUACGAAAAGUGAGUAGAAUCUACUAAUUAAUCUACAUCGGAUCAGGUAAUAGGAAAAAUUAAUAAUAAAAUAAAUGAUGAAAUUGCACCCUAUCAAAGGUCUAUACUUUGAUGAUCUUCUCUUUUCUAAUCUACAUAAGCUAGAUUGAUUACAUACUAUUUGGAGAAAAAUUUACCAUCCCGAGGUUAAAACUGAGACAUUUCCCUUUAUAGCUUCAGGGAUACAUACUUGGACAUCCGGCGACUAAAGUUCAAGGAAUUCUUAACUAUCUAGCCCAUUUGCUUAUAGGAUGGGCCUGAUUUGUGAUGAGCGCUAUGUGGAAUUCUGAUGUACUAUGGGAGGGAUGUGGGGGGAGGGAGAGGAGAGGAGGAGGGGCGGAAGAGGAGGUUGCAGGCUAGUGAUAUCGGCAAGCUGGUGGCGGGUUGAGGUGGGGGAGAAGGAAGAAAAUGAUGGAAAAAGGUGAAAAUUUUGUUUGUUUUUAGAUGUUAAGGGACGUGUACAUUAAAUAUUUUGAGAUGUUUAUAGAGGAUUACUAUAAACAAAUAGUAAAAAAAAAUUGUCUAUUAAAAAUUAGACUAAAAAUCCAUGUGAAAAUAAGCUAAUAAUCCAUACUUAAUUAAUAAUUUUUUAUUUAAUUAAUUGAACUCCGUUGCUCCAGUCAUUGUCAUGCCAAACCAAGUGGAUCCGUUGCUCCAGUCGAGCCCACCAUUUUUAAACAUUACACGCAUCAUUAUUGCAUCAUUAGAAUAAUGAUGCGUGUAAUGACUCAUUACACCGUGUAAUGUCUCCCAUGACACUCCACCGGAGAUAUAUAGAGUUCGCCGAAGAACUCUAUCCAAGUGUCUGGAGUCUAAAGUUGCUCUGCCUAGGGCCCAAAACGAGAGAUAGGCCAAGCUCUAUGGAGAAGUUGCAGGUGCUCCUAAGGCAUCCUAUCUUCUGCAACCUGUUCUUGCUGCUGAGUUUAUGUUCAAGCAUGUUCAAACCUUGCUAUGGCUGGUUCCAUAGUUAAGUUUCUUCCAGGAUUUGAAGGACCCCUCCCUUUGAACUCGAAACCGGGUGAGCCACUAAGCAUAACAUAUAUAUAAUAACACUAGAAAUUAACAUUAAUCAAAACUUAGAAGAAAUAGUUGAUCCAUUUUCUGAUAUUAUCAGGUAUAUUGGAGUUGGUGAAUCAGAGGAUGGGCAGCUCUUCUACGCCUUUAUCAAGUCAGAGUCAAAUCCUCAAUCGGAUCCUCUUAUCCUUUGGUUAGAUGGAGGCCCUGGCUGCAGUUCAUUUAGUUCACUUUUCUUUGGGACAGGUCAAUUCUAAUGCCUUACACUUUGCAUUAGGUGCCACCAAAAAACAGAACAAUUGCGCCACUAUUUUGAUCUUGAUUUUGUAUAAUCUUGAAACUCUGCAAACAGCUUUUCUGGUUGAAACUCUGCAAAAAAGACAAAAGACGUUGUCUGGUUGACGAAGCUUUAUGUAAGGUGUUUUUUUGGGUAAAAGCAUCCAUUUGUCGCCAGUAGCAACUGCUACAAACAUCUGUACAAUAACUAACUACACAUUCACAUCAAAUUAAAAAGCCCAAAAAUAUAAAUUAAGCUCCAAAAACACGCACCUAAAUAUUUUUUCAUAUGCAUUGCUACAAUAAAGCUUUUAGAAAACAUUUCUAAAAACAAACUAAUUCAAAUGGAGCCAUAAUCUUUAGUUGUCUUUAAUGUUCAAGUGAUGAUGACUGAUAAACUGGAGUGCCAGCAUUUGAUCAAGUCACUGGCCCGUGAUUUCCUGUUGCAGGACCAGUAAUUUUGGAGCCAUUGUCGUUCGAUGGCACUGUGCCCAAGUUGGUAUUAAAUCCCUCUACUUGGACCAAGGUAAACUCAAGAAUUGAGUUUCUCUUUUCUUUUCUUUUAUUUUCUUGUGAGAGAAAAAGAGAUUUAAGUUGAUGAGUAUAUCUUAGACUCAUAGAAGUGUUACAUGAAAAGGUUAUUGAGAUCCAUAUAUAAAUAAGAUUCCAAAUUUUUUUCUUUUUUCUUUUUUUUUUUUUUAAAUAAUGUUCAAAUAAUCUUUAUCCAAACAAACCUAAUUCUGAAGAUUAAGAAUUCGAGUUGACUGCAUGGUUGAGAAUCAUUUCUUGUUACUUGUUAGGUUGUAAGCAUCAUCUUUCUGGAUUCGCCAGCAGGAACUGGUUUUUCUUAUGCUAAGACUGCACAAGCUUCUCAAUCUUCAGAUUUUCUAGCCUCUGAUCAAGCUUAUGAAUUUAUCAGGAAGGUACACGCCCAUCACUCAGCUAAUUAAUGAAUCGUAAGGCUUCACGGAACGUUGGACAAUUACUAAUCAGGAAAAUGCCAUAUUUGUCUCUAGACCCUUUAUUAUGCAAAAAGACCAGUGUACUAUCAUUUAAUUAUUUUCCUUCUGAAUAGUGGAAUCCUGCAUGGCUCUGCCCAAAAUUGCCUCCAUUGGAUUCAAGUUCUUGAUGAACACGGUUUUGAUUGUAUAGAACAGUUGACAGUGGAAGAUGAAUAAAAGUGACAUCAAUAAUAAUUGGCUAUGGUAGUUGAUAGGGUGAAACAUCUCGAAAGAACCCAUCAAAGAGCCCAAUAUAUAAAUCAGAAAUUCAACUCUGACCCAAAAGUUUAAGCCAUUGGAUGUCGGGCCCUUACUUAUAUAUUAAACCGCUCUUUCUCCAUCUCUCGAAUCAUUGUUGGACGUAAUCUUUUACUUAUGAACCUAACAGUAGUUACGGCAGUUAGCAUCAUGGGAGCUAUAGUAGAGGAGGAGGUCAGGCAUGUGGCUCUUGCAUGGGGAAAGAUCCCAAAGUCUCGUGAAAGGCGGCAAUCUCUAGAAUGGAAUAUCCCAUUCAUAGUGUUUAGUUAGUGAAAUGUUGUGAUACAGGCUCCUAUGAUAAUUAGUUUAACAUGUAUACUGAGAUAUUCAUCUCUUGUACAAACUUGUCCCAUAUCGGUAAACUUACAAUUUUACCUUGAAAAAAUAGUGGAAGAUGACUAAUUUUGAAUUUGAGGCUUACAAUUCAAUUUUGGGUACAAAUUUCAAUAAGCGAGGCAAUUUGUAGUCUUUUUGCAUGUUGUUGUAUCUUAAUGUCUACAAUUGGUUUGCUAGUGCCUAUGGUACACAGUGCAAUUACAACUGCCAUUAUAGAGGCUUGGGCAGGCGAUAUUUGUUGCGUUUUUACCCAUUUGAACCUCGAGUUAAAAGCUUAAUUUCCUUUGAAAUGGGAAAGAAAUUAUAGUUAAAAAGAUGUUUACCUUUUACAAGAUUGUUUUGAUAGUUGAUUAUACUGCAGUGGCUACAUGAUCACCCAGAGUACAAGUCGAAUCCAUUCUAUGUUGGUGGAAUCUCGUAUGGAGGCAUUCCUGUUCCAAUAUUAACUCAACUUAUAUCAAAUGGUAAGAUUUUUUCAAUGUGGCUCUUUGCCUUGGGGAAGUUUUUUGGUUGUGUUACAAUCUGAUUAUUGAAAUUGUCAUGCAGAUACAUAGGCAUUGUAAGAGAUGUGAAUAUACUAUAAAUGCUCUCUGUAAGCUUGUAGUAUAUGCGAAGUCUCUUUAGGUAGGAAUAUAGUUGCCACCUUAAGCUAAAUGGGUUUUAUUAACAUAAUGCAGAGCUUUAUGAGGGGGAAAAAAGGUUAAAAGUUCCCUCAGAAAUUUGCAGGCUUUUUAUUCUUUUCUGUCCAUAUGUUAAGUUAUAAAACGCUCCAGAAAAGCAAGAAAACGUUUCUUUGACCAGUUCAAGUUCUACAUUAUCUCCUCACAAGAUGAUCAGUUGAAGUUUGCUAAAUACAGAGAGUAUAGGAUCAAUGCUUUGUUGCUCUAUGACUAUUAAGCCCUAAAACUUACAUGUAUUUUGGAGUUAUUCCAGGAAACGAGGACGGCAUUGAACCACGUAUUGAUCUUAAGGUCUAUACCUUUGAUGAUCUUCUCUUUUCUAGUCUACCUAAUCUUGAUUGAUUACAUACUAUUUGGAGAAAAAUUUACCAUCCUGAGUUUAAAACUGAGACGUUUCCAUUUAUGGCUUCAGGGAUACAUACUCGGAAAUCCAGUAACGAAGGUUUCAGGAUUCUGAACUAUAGGGUUCCGUUUGCUUAUGGGAUGGGGCUGAUUUCUGAUGAACUCUAUGAGGUAACUUAUUUCUUUUGUUUGUUACCUAUUGAUAUCUCAGAACACUGUCAUUUGUCACAUGCAUUCUUACAAUGUAAAAUUACCCGUGAUUUUCUAAUUGACCUGUAUAUUUACAAUGCAGUCCUUGAAGGUUAGCUGUAAAGGGGAAUAUGAAAUCAUAGAUCCCAGUAAUGCUGUGUUCGAAAAAUAUGCAGGCAUACAAUGAGGCAAGCAACCAUAUCUAUGCAAUUUUUAUGUGACUAUAUUUUCAAAAAUUAGGCAAGGCCUAAUGGAUUUACUUAAAGUGCCUCCUAAACUCAAGAAAGAGGGAUAGAGUUAAGGAUUGUCAGUAUAACGUUUCUGAAUAGUGUAAUAUCAUUUGAAGAAGCAGUAAUUCAUUGUAACUUACUCAUACAAUUUCGUAACAGAGUUGCAGUUAAUGUUGGGCUUACACGAGCACUGAUCGAACAUCAUAUUUCUGUUGCGAAAUUGUAGAAGUUAACAAUGAAUUACUCUGAUUUAUUCAAACAAUAACACACUUUCCAGAAACGGUUGUACUGACAAUUGGUUCCUACCCCUUCCCUUUAAUUUGCGGGCUACAAAAGGUGGGAAGAAUCAGAAUAAAGGAACGGGCAACAAGAAUGAUGGUGUAAAUAAUUUCUUCUGCAGUUGGUUCGUAAUAUUGACGAUGAACAGAUCUUGAUGCCCGUAUGUCCUCCUCUUUCACGAGAGCCAAAUAAAUUAUUUACUGGUGGGAGAUCCAUUAUACAAAUGUUGUAUAAGAAGUUUGAAGAGCUAGACGUUCGGGAAUCUACUCCAGUCAAAUGUCGAGUAAGAUACUACUAGUAUCGUUCUAUGUAAACUUGGAUAAGAGCAUCAGUUCUUGGUAGCACAACUGAUCGCCGUUUCUUCUGUUCACUGGCAAUCGUAGAUGGAAUGGUUAAGCUCGUUGAGCACUGGGCUAACAACAAGAGCGUCCAAGAGGCCCUCCAUGUGCGAAGGGUAUGUCUAAAUCGAGCACUAUGGUAUGUAGCAUUUGAAUGCCGAAGCAAGCCUGAACUGAUUUCUGUAAUCACAUUGCAGGAAACUAUCGGACAGUGGUUAAGAUGCAACGAUACCUUGCCAUACACAAAAAAUGCAGGGAGUGUUGUACCAUAUCACGCAAACCUUAGCACUAAAGGUUAUAGAUCCCUUAUAUACAGGUUUGGUAGCUAACUCUGAAUCUUGAUGCAUGUAGGUUAACAGCAGUGAUUUUAAGUACUGAAAGUGGAGUACUUUGUGAUUCAGUGGUGACCAUGAUCUGAUGGUACCGCACAUUGAAACUCAAGCGUGGAUAAGAUCUCUACAUUACCCAAUUAUUGACGAUUGGAGACAGUGGAUUCAUGAAGGCCAAGUUGCCGGGUUUGGUUCAAAAUUGAACAAUGUUUCUUUUCUUGAUUACACCACCAUUAGCACGAGAUAAAAAGAUGACUUUACCCGACUCAUCUAAAUUUGUUCUGUUUUCCUGCCUCCAGUUACACAAGGACUACGCAAAUAAGAUGACAUUUGCAACAGUGAAGGCAAGAAAUUCCUGUUUCUAUUGCUUCAGUGCAAGAUUUGUUCACAUGGUAACGACUAACAACAAGGUUAGAACAUUCUUGGGACUAACUAGCACCCCUUUUUUCUUUUUCUUUUUUUUGGGUGAAGGGAGGAGGCCAUGUUGCUUAUGAGUUGAAGCCUGCCGAAUGCAGAACUAUGCUUGAGAGAUGGAUAUCGCAUCAGCCUCUCUAAUCAGUUGGCAUAUGGAUUAUGAACAUCUUUGAUCACUUCUGCGCAUCAAAUGUGCACUCUUAAUAUAUUAUUUGUAACUUUGGGUCAUGAGACGCUUCUCUCCAUGUCUCCAAUGGAUUGCCUUCUUAUGGAGAUAUGAUUAGUGGAGAAGUGAAUAAAAUGUAGUAGUUAAAAUGGGAAUCACGUUACGCCUCCAAACAUUUCUAUAUGACUGCUGAAGCUUUUACUUUGAAGAUAUGUCAUUGAAUUAAAUUUCCUCUAUUUUGCAAUAAAUAAAAUUUUGAAUUCACAGGAAAGUACCGUUUGCCAAGGAAUUCAAAUAUUAAAAAAAAUUGUUACUCCAUUAAACAUGAAUGGAGGGAAUCUACCAAAGCUUUUAAAAGAUGAAGUGGAGUAGGAAAAGGAAUUUCUUAUAAAUAAUGGAAAAGCAAUUUUCUUGAGAAUACUUUAAAACCAAAAGAAGAUAAAAAAAAAAAUCUCUUAUGUCUGGACUGAUCUAAUCACUUUUUAAGCAAAACUGUGACUCAAAAGUAAUUUAAAAGCCUUUUUUUUGUAGUCCUAAACUACGUGUUGUUGCCAUGGAUGAUCUGGUCAUCGAAACCUUACACUUAGCUAGAUUCGAUUUUUAGAAAUUUAAUUGGCUAGAUUCGAUUGUCAGAAAUUUAAUGGAUCAAAUUGUGUUACGCAUCUCACCAAGUGGUGCGACUUAAUCUGACUAUUGAGUUUUGAAAAUCGAAUCUAUCAAAUUUGGGCUGAACAUAUUAAGGAUAUAAAGAUCUCUCCAUUUAUGAUGAGCCCGGCAACAACGUUCAAAUCAUGUCUAGGACUGAUCUAAUCAUUUUUUAAACAAACUAUGCUCAAAAGUACCUUAAAAUCCCCCUUUUUUUUUAGAUAGUCCUAAAUUACAUGUUUAUGGUCAUGGAUAAUCUGGUCAUCGAAGGCUUACACUUGACUCAUACUUGAGUAAAUUCGAUCUUUAGAAAUUCAAUAGGUCAAAUUGUGCUACCACCUCACCAAGUGAUGCGACUUAAUUUGGACUACUGAAUUUUUCACAACCGGAUCUUCCAUGUUUUGCUGAACUUGUUAAGGUAUCAAGGUCUCUCUAUUAAUGAUGAGCCCGGCGACAUCAUUCAAAUCCUGCUGGUGCUAAGGAGAACGGGGCGCACAUAUGGGUGCAUGGGCUCACGUUUUUGCCUACUCAUAUGGAAAGGACGAAUGCAAGGCUCAUAUGGGAAGACGAGACGUGCCCAAUCAACAGAAACCUCGAGGAGAGAGAAGGUGA